RNAcentral lists this long non-coding RNA (54191 nucleotides) under Durio zibethinus. RNAcentral's name for it is "long non-coding RNA (DZIB_LNC001421)". The record is from RNAcentral. Lineage: Eukaryota; Viridiplantae; Streptophyta; Magnoliopsida; Malvales; Malvaceae.
CUGAAUUAAGCAUAAUAUGUCCAUUGCACCUGAAUCCACGAGGCCAGUGAUCCUUGGACAUGAUUGCUGUGUGAUUGUAGAUGCAAAAUGUUAAAUGGUUCUGGAUAAGGUCUUUUCCAGAAACUCUAAGAUCAAAUGGAUACCAGUACUCAAACUCCUGCUUCAUCUUGUUAAGAACAGAGGAUGGGAUAUCAGAAGAUUUGGGAUACUGACCACCACAGAAGAGAAAUUCCCAGACCUCAUCAGUCAUCUGGGCAGGUUUAACCAGAUCGGCACUUUUUCCGUACAUGUCCCCAUUUUGUAAAAGAUGAGCAACUGUGUAAUAAGCCAUGUAAAUGGUUGAGUCAGAUAAUGACUCAACAAGGAAUUCUGCAUCCCAAGGAAUGCGAGUCCCAAGCCCAAAGGAUCGUGAGCAAGCCCAUUGGUUCAGCCAUCCUAAAGUAUGUUCAAAGCCAUGUCGUGUCUCAUCAGAGUAUAGAUUCAUGUUGGAUAAGCACUCCUCAGCUACUUGUUUCCAUUCCGGUUCCCCAUAUGUGAUGUACCAUUGAUCUGUAAGAGCCACAACACACUCAUCACCAGACCUUGACAUAACCUUCUUCUCAGGCUCACUAUAAAUUAUUGCCUGGCCUGUCUCAAUCAGUUUGGUCCUUAUCAGUGCCUUAGCUUCCUGGACUCUUCUUCCUGCAUACUCUCCAACAGUCAUGGUUCCCUCUGUAAAACCUCUCAAGUACACCAACCUCUUCGCCUCAGCAAGCUUUUCUUUCUCAUUCUGACUUUUGAUUUUCAGAUCCACACAAACUUUUUCAGCUGCCCUGUCUCCAAAUUCUGGAAUGUCAAUGAUGGGUAUAAUCUCAAAUGGCAAUACCCAUUCAUCCUUCACCCCAAACUUUGCCCGAAAAGCGGGUUUUGCUUUCAAAUCAUGUAAGGCCAUAUAAUCAUCAGGAGCAUCGCUAGGAACACUGGUCACGAUCCCUGUACCUUUGUCUGUUAGAAUUGUCAUCAUUGGAAGAGCAUAUAUGAUCUCAUUAAAUGAGAGAGGAGAUUUUACAGGAAGACCAAUCAGAUCAUAACCAGUCAGUUCAACCAAGCAAUUAGGUUUUUCAGGGACGCGGGAGAGCUUCUGAUAAGCAAGGUUGAGUGCUGCUCUCUCAGUCAGAAUAAAUAUCUCAGUUUCAUUGAUUUCAAAGGCUCCGUAUUUCCCAUUAGGCAAAACCCAGCAGUUUGUUUGCCCAUACAUGGUCUCAGGCCUCAAUGUUGCAGCAGCCAAAAACACUUUUUUCCCUUCCAAAACACGCAUUUUAGCUGGAAAAGGUGGCACCACUUCCAUUUUAAUAAUAGUAUACUCUUGAGGCUGAACUCCUUCACCAGUUGCCCUAUCAUGAUCAGCACAUGGCUGACUAUCCAAUGGAGAAUAUAUAGUAUACCUCAUAUCUUUAACAAUCUUACCCAUCGAUUUCAACUUCCUCAUCUGCCACUUAACAAACGAAUCAAAAAACGGAUUCAUAUCUGUGGUCACAAAUGACCUUCUCCAAUCACAACCUAAUCCAAAAGCCUUGAGGUCUUGAACAGCCAAUGGCGGAAAGAACUUCAACCAUUCAUACGGGUUCUGAAACUUUGAUAUCUCACUAUCUGAAAGUCCAAAACUCCUCAUAAUUUCCCACUGAAACAUCUGUCCACUAGAUUUCGAUGCCGCCUUAGACUUUUUACCUUUAAACUUAUCAGGCGCCACAUUGGCAUCUUCAUUUGGGUCAGAUUCUUCUGUUGGGUUAGGUUCCUCAUCCACUACCUCAUGAGGAAAAAUGGGUGGAUCACCAAAUUGUUUGAUUUCCCUAGCAAGUUUAUCAGCUGAAGCCUUGAUUGGCAUACCGGUACAGUGAAAAGCAAAAGGCAAUAACACAUUGGCACCUCUUAAUCUAUGAUAAGCAGCAGCAAACUCGAGUUUCGAAAGCGAAAAGGCAUGGCCCAGAUGUAAAAAACCAUUCAUAUAAGGAAAAGGAAAGUUCCCAAAGAAUUUUUCACCUGGUUGAGGUGGUUUUUCAUUAGGUUCAGCUUUAAACACAUCUUUUUCUUCCCACCAAACUCUAACCUUUGACUCGAUUUCGAGGAGUUUGUCUCUCCUGGCAUAGCUCUUGCCUCCCUCUGUUGCCAUCUCGUGAAACCAAUGGAAACUGUUCAAAACCAAAACAAAAUAAAAUUCAUGAAAAUGAAACAGAAAGAAAACCAAAAAAAAAAAAAAAUGGAAGAAUCUUUGGAAAGGAAAGUGCCUGAGUUUAUUGAGGAAGAUGGUGUUGUGCCUACGAAGAAUCUUUGCUGAGUUGCAACGGAUAUAGAGCAAAUGAGUGGAGAUGAAGGAGGAUAAAGAGAAAAGGGGGAGACUGCGUUGAGUUUCAGUUCCAGUUACAGGGCUAGAUUCUCAUUGUUUGUUUUUACAGGUUUUUAGGGUUUUAAUGAUUAUUAAUUUUAAAUUAAAAAGGCCUGCCCCAACUUUUUAACAGAUCAAGAAACAGACCCAAUGUAGGAAAUAACCCAAUUUCAACAACUUUUAAUCAGACUGAGAAAGAGAAGCCCAACUAGGGGGGCAACUAACUGAACUGGACCAAUCCCAAUCUUAUGCUUAAGCCGAAACCCAAAUUCGUGCCAUUUUUCUAUAUUAAAAUGCAGGAGGGGCAAUUUUAAAAAUGAGUAAAACUUUUUAGGUUGUAAAAUUGACAAAAUUUUAUAUAAGUAUGAUCAAAUUGUCAAAUAUAUUUUGUAUUUGAUAUGUUCACACUGAUUGUAAUAAUAAUUUUCAUAUUUUACUUGACAUGAAAUAAAUAUAAUAUAAAUAUAUAAAUUAUUAUGUCUAGAUUUAGUCUGUUGCCUAAAUAAAAAAAUCUAAUUGUUGUAUAAAGAUAGUUUUCAACCUUUAUGCUUAUUGCUUUGGAUCAUCUGAAAUUCUCGUAGCCAUAAUUAACCAAAAUUCUGCCAAAUGCUAUGGCCCCAAAAUUUGUUUCUCAUCUCAUUGAAAUAGAUAGUUGCCGACUAAGGGAUCACUUUGUUGGCUUCCAUUUGUUAUCCUGGUCAGUCUGCACUUUUGAGCAAUUUCAUUCGUUCAAAACUAAGCAGGAAUCUGCUAUGCAAAAGUACAAAUCUGGUAUUACAACCAGACAAAACAAGAUUACAUAGGAAAAAACUAAUGCACAAAGAUUCUCCUUGAUUCAGCUUCCAACUUUGGCCGCAGAUGAAUUUAUAGGUUUGUUUUUGUAGUCAUGGACAGACAAUUAAUUCUUGUCCGUCAUUUUUAUUUUCUUGUUUUGGUGAAUACUAAAUAUAACUAUUAUUAUUUGUCCUUCGGAAAAACAAGGUCAUUGUACCAUAAUAUUAAGUGUAGCCAAUUGGCAAAGCUAGAAACAAAUACUAAGUAAUUUCAGUAUCUGUUCUCAAGAAGGAAGCUGAUAUCCCUUGAUUGCAGGACGGCGGAUUCUUUGGUGGUAAGGAUAGAGUUGACUCCUGAAAAUUUUCCUGGGAAAAUUUACUUCAGUUUAUAGAAGAAAAUGGCAAAGCCGGCAAUGAGAUUCCAAUAAUCAUGGACAAUUGGCAAAGCCGGCAUGUAUAUGUGAUGGGACUUUAGCUAUGGAAACCUACUGCACAUUUGAUGUGAAGGUAAAUCAAUACUACUUUGAAAGCUAAAAAUAGUAAACUGAAUAAAAGAGAUUUUAAAGCAAGAAUAUUUAACAAUAUAUUUGAUUGUUGUUUUUGUGCCAAAAGAGUUUAAAAAAAAAUGUGUCAAUAGGGAAAGCGAAACUGAUAGCAAAUCACUUUGUAAUAGCAAAGCCAAGUAAGGGCUCAUUUCUUGCACUUGCAGAGGAAAAUUAGACAAAAAUCAUGUUCUUCCAUCACCCCUUUUCACUGGAAUAGAAAAAAAUUGAAGUAUUACAACUGGUUUUCGUUGAUUUCAAAGGUAGUAGGCUGGCUCACAAUUUACCUUGGAUGAACAAUGAGUAAGGUUGGUUUAUAGAAUUCUCUCUAAUGUACAUUUUUUAAUUCCUUAGUGACAAAGACAAUGGGGAAAUUAAAGUCUUUGGAUAGACAUUUCAAAUGCAAAAUUCCAAAUGGGAAGAAAACGAAGCAAUAGUACUAUAAAAGUUGUUUGGGACAGCAAUUAGUGCAUUGAAUCAUUUAAAGCACUUCUGUCCCUUUUUUUCAAUGGUCCAAAGUCUCAACCACAAAGCAUAAAGAAGAAGGCAACCGAAAUGAGAAAUUGUGAAGGAAAAGUUCAAUGUUCCAAGUCUUCUUUCCUUCCAUCUUAAAAUUUGUCAUCAUAGCCUGCCUAACAUUAAUUUUUCCAGCUCCAACCUUAUCCUUGCAGUCUGCAAUCAAUGUUUGGCCUAAACCAAUACUACUUUUAUGGCCAAAAGCCACUUGCCACAUUCCUCUCUCCAAACUUCACCAUCAGUUCCCCCAACCACCAAUACCUCAUCCCGGCCAUCAACCGCUACCUCCGCCUUAUCCAGACAGAGCACCACAAUCCCCUUGUCACCCCUUCUGUCAACAUUUCCACCUCAUCCCCUCCUUUGCAAACUCUUACCAUCAAUAUAAUUGAUCUCACCGCCCCCCUCCAACAUGGGUCAAUGAAACCUACGCCCUCUCCAUUUCUGAAGUAGGUGCCACCGCCUAUUUGACAGCUGCAACUACAUGGGGUGCAAUGAGGGGCCUAGAGACGUUUUCCCAGCUGGUGUGGGGUGAUCCCUCAGCUGUUCCGGUAGGCUUGUACGUCUGGGAUGCUCCCUUGUUUGCUCACAGGGGAGUCAUGUUGGAUACAUCAAGGAAUUAUUAUGGGGUGGAUGACAUAUUGAGGACUAUUGAAGCAAUGAGUGCUAACAAGCUUAAUGUGUUCCACUGGCAUAUUACUGAUUCACAUUCUUUUCCUCUAAUGGUGCCUUCGGAGCCUGAGCUUGGUGCCAAGGGAUCUUAUGGACCUGACAUGAUAUACUUUCCCUCAGAUGUGGCUAGGAUUGUUCAGUUUGGCUUGGAACAUGGGGUCAGGGUCCUACCAGAAAUCGAUUCACCGGGUGAGCUUGUCAUAACAGUAACUUUUUCCUUCUAAAAAAGCGUGGUAUGACUGUUCAUUUUUAUAUUAACUGAUAAUAAUAGUUUCAUGCUUUUAUAUAUCAGUUUAUAAAUUGACAUUUAUGUAAACUUUUUGUUAUAUUUUAUGAUUUUAGAGUUGAGUGAAGUCCAAUUCUACGAAAACAAAGCACUCUCUUUGCACACUGGACACAAUAUGAAAUGAGAUUAUCAAAAUAUUUUUCGAUUGCAAUUGCAGGCCUUACGGGAUCAUGGGCAGAAGCCUACCGGAGAUAGUGGCAUGUGCAAACAUGUUCUGGUGACCAGCUGGAAGUCAAGGGGAUGACAGGCUUGCAUCUGAACCAGGAACUGGGCCAUCUAAACCCCUUGAACCCCAAAACCUACCAAGUUCUCAAGAACGUAAUUCGUGACGUAGCCAUGCUAUUCCCUGAACCAUUCUACCAUGGAGGAGCUGAUGAGAUAAUUCCUGGAUGUUGGAAAGCUGAUCCAACCAUUCAAACUUUCCUUUUCGACGGUGGAACUCUUAGCCAGCUCCUGGAAACCUUUGUGAACUCCACUUUGCCUUACAUUCUAUCCCUUAAUCGUACUGUAGUCUAUUGGGAGGAUGUUUUAUUAGAUGAAAAUAUCAAAGUAGACCCCUCAUUUCUUCCAAGGAAACAUACCAUUUUACAAACAUGGAACAAUGGCUCAAACAACACCCAAAAAGAUCGUUGAAGCGGGAUAUCGGGCAAUUGUAUCAUCUUCAGAAUUUUAUUAUCUGGAUUAUGGCCAUGGAAAUUUUCUUGGCAGUGAUGGCCAAUAUGAUCAGCAAACAACGGCUAACUCUGGAAAUGGAGGGUCUUGGUGUGGACCAUUUAAAACGUGGCAAACUAUUUAUAACUAUGACAUAACUUAUGUUGAGUGAAGACGACGCUUGGAGAGGUGGCAUUGUGGUCAGAACAAGCUGAUCCUACAGUUGUGGAUGCGAGGAUUUGGCCAAGAACUUCAGCAAUGGCAGAGACAUUAUGGUCAGGAAACCGGGAUGAGACAGGGAAAAAGAGGUAUGCUGAGGCAACUGAUAGGUUGAAUGAAUGGAGGUAUAGAAUGGUAAGUAGAGGGAUCAAGGCUGAGCCAAUUCAGCCACUGUGGUGUGUUAAGAAUCCGGGAAUGUGCAACACGGUCAAUCCCUUUUGAUUUCAUAGAUGUUUAAUUGUUUUAACAGAGACUUCAGAGACCAGUGAAAAAAGAAAUUGAUUCUGUAAUUCUCUUUCAUUUUCAACUUGUAUUUUAAUUGAUUAGCAAAAGAAUUGUCCUAUAAAUUGCAUAUGUGCUAAAUUUCUUGUUAGUUCUAGCAAUAAGUAGUAAAAAGGAUAAAAACAAACAUCUGUUUUUUAGGAAGAAAAUCAUGCAAGAGAGUGAAACCCAAAGGCAGGAACUUUUGAGAGAAAUUAUGCAAGUGGAAGAUAGAUGAGGGCAUGAGUUACUUGAAAAAAAAUGCAUUCAAAGGGAUAAAUACCCAUGAAAUUUGAAAGGAUAAUAAAAUUGAGACCCACACCAAUGAAAUGAAAGUUACAGGGGAAAUAAUAAAAAAAAAAACGAAAAUAUUAAAAAAUACUGUUGAAAGAGACUAAAAUCCGCCAAUAGUAUAUUAUAUAAAAGAGAUUAAAAAAAAUUAAGAGAAAUUCUUUCAUUAACAAUUAGUAGUAUUUGAUAUUAAUGGUCACUUCAAAAAUUAUGAUAAUUUAUAUACAAUGAUUAGAUCAUCAUUUUUGAUAAAUAUUUAAUGAUCCUAUGUGAUUGUGAUUUUGAAGGAUAAUCUAAUUGCCAUUUGAAAUGAUGAAAAGCUUUUAUCAUUUUAAUAUAUAAAAUUAGUAAUAAUCAAUAUUACUUAUUUAAUAUGUGAAUUAAAAUUUUGAUUUAUCUUAAAAUUAUAAUUAUUUUAUAUUAUAAAUUUUUAUAUUUUAAACUAAUAUUCAUUAUAAACAAAUUAAAAAUAGUUUGAGUAUUUUUUACUUUUUGUGUUUAUAUAUAAUAAAAUAUCUUUUUAUUAUAAUUUUAAUAGAUUAAUUUAUUUUUUAAUUCAAUUUUUUUACAUAAUUUAUAUUAUAAAAAUUAGUUUAUUUAAUAAAUAAAUAUAUUUAAUAAUUUAAUUAUAGUAUAAAAUAAAUAAAAUAUUGCCAUUUUUUAUGAAUUAUUAUCUUUAAAUAAUAUUUAAAUCAUUAAUUUGUAAUUAUUACAAUAAAAUGGUUAUUUUGUAUUUUUAAAUAAAUAAUAUUUUAUUUUUAAUAAUUCAAAUAUAAUGAUUUUUAUUCGUAUGAAUUAAUUAUUGUUAACAAAAAAAUGAUUUCAAAUCACGAGUAAUAAAACUUGUAGUUAUUAAUUUCAUUUUGAUAUAGAUCAAUAUGCGACAGCUAUAUCAAAAUACAAUACACUUAGAGAUGAUUUUUGUACUAAAUUUGUUACAAGAUAAAACUAAUUGUUUUUGGUAGUUUUCAGUAAGUUUUAAUGAAUUUUGGUGGAAUAAUUUAUUUUGAUUAAUACGUAAUGUGAAAUAUAUUUUAUAAUUUUUAAUUUAGCCUUUAUAGUUUAAUUAUUUUAAUCUAAUAAAAAUAAAAUUAAUUGACAAAAUAAUCUUUAAAAGUUUAGUUUCUUUAUUUUUUAUUUUAAUUUAUUUUUUUAUACUUUAUCUUUUCAAAUCAAAGUUUAUAAUUUUAUAAUUUAUUUUUUCAAAUUAAAAUUUAUUAAUAUUUCAAUUUUUUUAAGAAAGUAAUUAUGCUCAUUUUAUAAAGUUUAACAAUCAUAAAGCCUUGGUUAACUUUUUUAUUCUCUUUGUUUUUAUCUUAAUAUUUACAUAAAAAAUAUUUAUUUAAAUAACAUAUGAUCGGAUUAAGUGUUUGAAAAUAUUAUGAAAAAUUCAUGAUAUUGUUUCUAAUACUUUUAAACUUAUUUAUUUGAUUUUUGAAAAUAUUGCAUACUUAAUUUGUAAAUUAUUAAUAGUAUUAUAAUGUACAAGUUUAUGUAUGUUUAUAAAUAUAUUUGUACUAAAAUAAAAAAAUCUAAAAUAAUAUAUCGAAAUAAUUGGUACCGAUAUAUAUUAUUUAAAAAAAAACUGAAAUGUUAUCCAAUAUGAUAUUAAUAACUUUAACAAAAUCACCUUAAUAAUAAAAUCAUUUAGAUGAUUAUAUUUUCAUGAUAAUAUUAAAAAUAACAUCUAAUGAUACCCUUAUUAUAAUUUUUUAAACUUCUUAGGACAAAUUAAUAAGAUAACACAAAUGUAUUGAAAAUAAAAAAUAUAAUUAGAAAUCAAAAUAUAUUAAUCUUUUAAUUUCGUGGGUGAAAUUAAAAAAUUACACAAAUAAUACAAAAAACGAACUCAAAAAUUAGAUGAAAGUAAAACAUUUGACACAGGAUUCUGUGGGCUAUGUAAGCCUUUAGAUUUUUUUUUCCAGAAUUCACGGUGGGCUAAAACCCAAUAUGAUCCAAAAUUCAGGUUCUUGGAUCCAUAGUUUAAGUAGCCUAAGAACCCAAACUUAGUCCACGAAAAUCUGUUAACUUUUCAUUUUCCAAACUACUUUUCAAAUAAUAUUUUUUUAAUUUCUUUUACCAGCGAGUCAGCCACCUGAUUCCGUGAUUCGAUCAACAAACCCAAACGUUUCGAAAUUACAGAACCAAAUCCUGAGAAUCUCAAUUUCCCAUCUCUGAUUAUUUUUUUUCUAACUUGUUUUUUCCCUAUUUUCUUUAUGAAAUUAAACUACUAAAAGAUGCAGUCUCUUGAAAGCAUCACAGAUUCCUCAUUUCCUCAAAACCCUAACAAUUCUUCUUCUUCUUCUGUUAAUGGGUUGUAUCGAUGGCUCUUUGAAUGUCAUGGAAUUUGGCAUAACUUAGCUCUUGUUAUUCCUUCUCUUCUAUUUGUUCUUUUCUUAGGUUUUCAAGCCAAAAGAAGCUUCCAAAAGCUCUCUCAUGGCAGGUCUUAUAUCAUGAUUUCUUAUUACGGUUGCCUUGGCUUGUUAGCUCGCUCAAUCUUGCUUGGUGUUCUCUUCAGGUUGAGGGUUUUCUUUUUUCUCUAAGUCGAUUUUAAACAUUUGGGUUGUUCUUGAAUUAGCUUGUUGAUUUCUUAAAGGAUGAAAUUAAAUUGCUUUUUGUUGUUUCUAGGAAAUGAAUGCACUUUUUAUUUUUAAUUCUUCACAAGUUUGUUUAGUUUAUAUCCAAAAUACUCUUUUUUUCUUUGCAUCUAUGGCAUACGCAACAACUAAAUGGUACCUAAAUUAGUGGAAUGUAAUUUGGGUGUCUUGGGUUCAUUAGAAAUGGCUUGAAAGUUACUAUACUUGAUGAUUUUUCGCGUUAUGGUAAAUUACAAAUUGGAUUAUUGGACAGUUUUCAAGUUUUAGUUUUUAGGUUAGGCUUCUUUGAUGUCGUAUGUAAGAACAAUGCUCAGAAGCCAAUAAUGAUAAUAUAUAGAUCAGUGAAAUGAAAAUAUGUAUAGCAAAAGCCUUCUUUGUCGAGCUUAGAUGUUCAAUAGAUGCGUCUAGGCACUAAGCUUUUGGUAUGGCAUGAGUUUGCGACUAACUCAUUCAUUAUCAUGAAUGGUGUAUAAUAUCAUGAUUGUUCCUUUUUCAUAGUGUAUGUUUCCGUUUCGUAAGCAUGAGUAAAUUUUUUUUUUUUUUACUUUUUUUUCCAUAUGAAUUGUGUAUUGGUUGAUCCUUAACAGAUACUGUUUUCUGCUUAAUCUGGCUUCUUUAAAAAUGAGUUGUGUUAAGCAGCUUGGCUGCUUAUCCUUUUGAUAGUUUGAAGAGUUAGGGUACUAAAUUAUAUGCUUUGAGAGAACUCAUAUCCACUAGGAUUUAUGAAACAUGACCUGCAUUGACCCUUGAAGAUUCUUAUUCUAGUUGCGAGUAAGUUAACUUUUUCUACUUCAUAGCUGGAUGGCUAGGUUUACACUAUUUACUGAUUGAUGCAGGCCUGGGAAUGCAGUCCUGGAAAGGAAAUGACAUGGAAUAUCUUAUCGUUGUUUACAACUUCUGGGAUGCUGUUCCUGGAAGUUAGCUUGGUGGCAUUUUUACUUCAAGGAAAUUAUGCUAGUGGGUUGGAGGCUUUGACUCGAACAUUUGUUGUUUCGGGGCUUAUUGUUGGUUUGGACUUACUUCUGAAGGUACUUCUUUUAUUCUUGAAUAUUUUAACCUUCUUUGAAGUUCCAUAUCUGUUGCUGGUGAAUCAGACGGUGGUGGAAAAACAAAACAGUUUCUUUCCUUACUGUACUUUACUAAAUAGCAGAGUCACCGAUUCCUGUGGCCUAUAUUUAGAUUGUUGACCUACUUUAACUUCUUAAGCAAUCUAGAAUGCUAAGUAUGAUUGUUUAUACGUGUUUAAGUUGUUUUAUUUUCUAAUAUGGAAAGACACACAAUGUUAUUCCUUUUUGUGUUUUUCCCCUUUUGAAUUCUUUAUAAUAUUUUUGCAUCAAUGCUUAAUAUGUUGUGAUAUUAAUAUUUCAAUGGUCUUUUCCCUCGUUUAGGCUAUUUACCUAUUUGGAUUUGGUGUCCCUAUGUUCACUGACAACACCGAACAUACACAUCAAGUGAAAUGGGGCUUGUGGGUUGUUCACAGGCUAGUGCUGACUGCUAUUUAUGGCUUCAUACUGUUUAUGUACCACUCUAAGUGGAGAGAAAGGUUACCUGGUAUGUUAAUCUAAGUCACAUACAUUUGUGCAGGUUAUUUAACAGUAGUUGCAUAGUUGUGUCACCUGGAAUCUUCUCUCUUAUUCUGCAGCAAGACCUGCAUUCUACAAAUAUGUUGCAAUCAUGUUCAUCUUGAAUGCACUAGCACUGAUUACUUGUGGACUAACUGGAAAUGGUGCUAGUUUUGGGUUUUGGUAAAUACAAGCUUGAUGCCCUUUUUUAAUUGAAGAAUUAUGUUUGUUAUUUAUAUUGGUAUAUUAUGUUCUUUUCCAAGGGUUUUUUUUUAAAAGAAUAGGAUUGACAGGUUGUACAGUGCCACAAUUGUUUGCUACCACGCCUUGUACCUUCCUCUUCUGUAUAUAACUUUUCUGGCAGAUUUUUUCCAGGUAAUCAUUUAUUUCGGAUUCAUAGCAAAAAUUUUAUCUUGUUAUUGAUUCUUUAGCACCUUAUAAUAUGUUAGUACGGUAAAAGUAUCUCCAAUGCCUGCAGGAGGAAGACUUGCACUUAGAGAAUGUGUACUUUCAGAGAUGAAAGAUGCUGGUUUCUUUGAUGCUGACUGGGAGUGAGCACUGUAUCAACUUUGAAUUACUAGAUUCCCUUUUCGUUAGGAUCUGUAAAUGAAAUUAAAUGCAAUUCAGAUUGUAAAAUGUCUGAUCAAAGGAUGGUUGAUCGAUCCAUGCAUGUAGUAUUUAUAGAUACUGCUCUGGUAAUGGCGACAGUAAUCCUAUAGCUCGUAUAUUUGUAAUAAUCUCCUGUUUUAUAAAUUUAAGUUGAUUGCAAAUAAAACUUGUCCAAUCUUCUUGUAGCAAAAAAACUAGAAGCAUUGUGUACGUUCUUGUAGAAUUUCUCUUUUAGUUUUUGUGUUAUUGUAAUAAAAUUCCAAUUAACAGCUUCAUGUUGAUGGUGUUUAUGCAUACUAAUAGAUUGGUUAUCCUUCACGGUUUCCCUUUGCAUUAUUACCGCAGGUUUGUUGAUAUUUACUCUUUGCCUCAGCUUAAUGGGGCUGAGGCAUCAAAUAUCCGAAACAUUAGCCGUAUCUUAUUCUCUUCGGGCUUCAUUGUGUCGGUUUCUUUAAGAGUGUAAAUGAAAUAUUAGUAUUUAUAAAUUAUUCGAAUUUAAUAUAAAUAAAAUUUUAAUUUGGAUUCAAUUAUUAUCGAGUUGUCGAGUUCGAGUUCGAGUAGCUCGACUUAUCGAUCGAGUUGAUUUUAAGUAUUUUUAUAUUUGAUUCGAGUAGUUCACAAGUUUAAUUGAAUUUUAUAUUUUAAUAUAUUUUAAUUAUUUUAAUUGAUAAAAUAUUUUAAACUCAAGUAUAAAUAAUUAAGUUUUUAUCGAAUAUAAGAAUUGAGUUUAUUUUUAUAUAUUAAUUAAGAUUAAUCAAAUGAAUUUUAAUAGUUAAAUUUUAUUUCGAAUCAAACUUAAAUUAAAAAAAUAAAAUUCGAUCGAAUUUGAAACUUUAAAUUUGAAAUUAAAAUUGAUUUAAAUUUAAUGUAUAUUUAUUCAAACUUUAUCGAUUACACUCUUAAUUUUAUCUAUGUUAGUGAAGCUACGGACAUCUUUUUCUAAGGCCUCAGUUGGAUUUAACUGAAGCUUCAGUGUGUUGCGUUUUCUUCACUUUUUUCCUUCAAUCUCACCGUGAUUCAUAUUUGGAUAACAUCAAUGAUGGUGAGUUUACUAGCGUGAAUCGCACUAAAACAUCAGUUGAAGACAGGACUUUUGGGGUUCAAUGGAUAACUAAUAUCCCAAUAAAUCUUUUUUAUUCACAUUAUUUUUUUUACAUUCUUAUCAUGCCCUUAAAUGAGUUUUUAGUUAAAAAAACCUAAAAUAUGAUUUUUUUAACUUAUUUCUCUCUCUUUCUGUUUCUGUCACCAUCUUAAAUUUUUAACCCUAAAUGCCUCCUCCUUCGUAUUAUCGCCCCUUGCUACUGUCACUUGUUCCAUUUCCCCUUGCUAUUGUCACUUGUUCCAUGUUAAGGACAUUAGAUAAAAAUAUUAUUUGAUAUUAAAAAAUUUAAAAUUUUGUAAUUAUUUAUUAAUUUAAAAAUAUUAAAUAUAUAUAUUUAUUAUACAUAAAUUUUAAUUUAAUGUUAAUAUAAUAUUUUAAUAAUAAUUUUUAUUUUUAUUAUAUUUUAUUUCACCAUUACUAUUAAUUUUACAUUUAAAUACAUAUUUCACUGUUGAUAUUAAUCUCAUCAUUACAAUAUUCAAUCUCAUCAUUAUAUUAACUAAUCUCACUAUCAUCAUAAAUUUAAUCUUACUAAAAUCAAUUCACUACCUAUAUAAAUGAACCCUAAACUAGCAUGAAAAACUUUACAUUAUGGAGCUUGUUGGAUUAAUUGUGGGUUAAAAUAUAAAAUAUAAAAUCAUAACUUACUCAUUAAAAUUUUAAUUAAAUUAAAUCAGACAACUCUCUUUAUUUUUAUUUUUUAUUUAUUUUUUUUUCUCGGUUUCAGCGUCACUCCACUUUUACACCUAAACAGCUCCCACUUCUUUAUUAUUUAAAUCUUUCAUUUCACGUUAAGUUAAAAAGGCCUUGCCCAUGAAUGGUCAAAACCAAAGAACGAGGCAAGACCCCACGUUCUUAACAUCUUUUGCAAUGGACCGACAAUCGGGCAUUACGCUUAAAAGUUUAAAGUUGAAAUUUUGAACUUGAUUUAUCAGUCUAAUACAAAAUCAGGUAUACAAAAUUUAUUCGAUUUCCACAGCCUAAAUUUCAAAAAAAAAAAAAAAAACAAAAAAGAACUUCUUGAAUAAAGUAGGAAUAUACAAAAGUCAACUCUUUUUCCAUCAAGAUUUUUUCAGAGUAUUAACAUCAGUAUAUUGUUGUGUGUUUCAUCAAUGGAAAGAUUGUAUUUGUAGGCAAACAAAAAAUAUGUCAUUUUCGAUAAAUAAAUGAUAGUGACUUACACUAUCAUCACGCAGUUGAUGCGUCUAAUAGUAUAAACAAAUGAUAAUGCUUAUACCAUUAUGUACCAAUAAAAGGAAAAAAAUUAGUGUAAUUUUUUAGAGUGAAAUUAAAUUCUAUCAUUUUAUUAAGAUUUUUUACAUUUACACAUUGAAUUUUUAAAAUUAUAUAUUAUAAUUUAUAUCAAUAAAAAAAUAAAAAAUAUAUUUUUUUAAUUUCAUUAAGCAUAUAUAUAAUUAUUAAUAAAAUUUUAAAUUAUAUUUUUUUAUAUAUUUUUUGUCAUAUUAUGAUAUAUAUUUUAAAUUCAUUAGAUCUAAUCAAGAAUAUUUUUUGACCGUGUACAUUUUNNNNNNNNNNNNNNNNNNNNNNNNNNNNNNNNNNNNNNNNNNNNNNNNNNNNNNNNNNNNNNNNNNNNNNNNNNNNNNNNNNNNNNNNNNNNNNNNNNNNNNNNNNNNNNNNNNNNNNNNNNNNNNNNNNNNNNNNNNNNNNNNNNNNNNNNNNNNNNNNNNNNNNNNNNNNNNNNNNNNNNNNNNNNNNNNNNNNNNNNNNNNNNNNNNNNNNNNNNNNNNNNNNNNNNNNNNNNNNNNNNNNNNNNNNNNNNNNNNNNNNNNNNNNNNNNNNNNNNNNNNNNNNNNNNNNNNNNNNNNNNNNNNNNNNNNNNNNNNNNNNNNNNNNNNNNNNNNNNNNNNNNNNNNNNNNNNNNNNNNNNNNNNNNNNNNNNNNNNNNNNNNNNNNNNNNNNNNNNNNNNNNNNNNNNNNNNNNNNNNNNNNNNNNNNNNNNNNNNNNNNNNNNNNNNNNNNNNNNNNNNNNNNNNNNNNNNNNNNNNNNNNNNNNNNNNNNNNNNNNNNNNNNNNNNNNNNNNNNNNNNNNNNNNNNNNNNNNNNNNNNNNNNNNNNNNNNNNNNNNNNNNNNNNNNNNNNNNNNNNNNNNNNNNNNNNNNNNNNNNNNNNNNNNNNNNNNNNNNNNNNNNNNNNNNNNNNNNNNNNNNNNNNNNNNNNNNNNNNNNNNNNNNNNNNNNNNNNNNNNNNNNNNNNNNNNNNNNNNNNNNNNNNNNNNNNNNNNNNNNNNNNNNNNNNNNNNNNNNNNNNNNNNNNNNNNNNNNNNNNNNNNNNNNNNNNNNNNNNNNNNNNNNNNNNNNNNNNNNNNNNNNNNNNNNNNNNNNNNNNNNNNNNNNNNNNNNNNNNNNNNNNNNNNNNNNNNNNNNNNNNNNNNNNNNNNNNNNNNNNNNNNNNNNNNNNNNNNNNNNNNNNNNNNNNNNNNNNNNNNNNNNNNNNNNNNNNNNNNNNNNNNNNNNNNNNNNNNNNNNNNNNNNNNNNNNNNNNNNNNNNNNNNNNNNNNNNNNNNNNCUAGUCAAACACAAAACUUGAUCAAGCAGACUACUGGUAGAUGUAGAACUUCAAGUGCCUCACCAUGCCUUUGAAAUUUCACAACCUUCAAGUCUGCCUCAUGCUAUAUGUACAAGAUCCAUCAACACCAAAGUUAUUCUACAUUUUUAAAAUAUAAAAAGAGACUUGUUUUCUCACAAUGUUAUUACUUUCCCUAAAUCAUAAGAGUGUGAAGUACUUUAUCCAAGACCAUACUCCUAGGGAGAAGACUAGCUGAAGAUUUCUUGUGACUAAUCGCUUUUAAAAUGCUUGCAAUGAAGAUAAACUUGAACAUAAGAGCCAAGAGAAAAAAAUAAUUAGCUUCGAGCCUUAACAACAUUAUAAUUUUUCUUAGCAAAAGAAGUUAGUAUAAAGGAAACAUCAUACCUGCUUAAAACGAACAUCUUCAGACUCCUCUUGGCUCAAUUCUGAAAGAAAAUUUCCUUUAUUUCAGUGCUUUUGUUUUUGCUUGGUUUAGGAAUAGUUAUUAGAUCCAAAACCCAAUUACCAUAAACGGGAGUAAACAGAAUACAGGAAUAGAUGCAUAACAAACACUUCCAUUCACUUAAGCAAGCACAUUACUGAGCUUAAGACGAAAAAAGGUUUAUAUUAAUCAGUACUAGGAAUUGAGAUUAACUUACCAAAUGCCUCAAAUUGACCCUCAGUUGGUAGUUUCACCUCAUCUGCAAACAUGAUAACAGUAAAAAGGAAAAAAUUGUUAAGCAACCGACACAUCUUCUGCAUUUUAAAGCAUGCCACUCAUGCACAACUUUGCAUUGACAAUGAAAUAUCAAUUCUAAAGAUGUUAUUACAUGCCAAUAGAAUGGCAGAUUCUCCCUUUAUUAAUAGAUGUCAUGUUGUUCGAAAAGGAAAGAAAAAUAAUACCAGUUUUUAGCAAAUUCUGGCGUCGAUUUUUAGCCAUUGCAAAUGCAACUGCAUCCUCUACCUUCAGAAAAGAUAAAUUAUUUAAAAGAACCACCAAAUACAGGGGAAAAUAUUCUUUAAGACUGCAAGCAAACUGACCAUGUCAUGUGAUAUUAUCAUUAAAUUGAUAAAAAAUAAUAAUAAGAAAGCGCAUAAGAAGGAAGAUAGCAUGUGCUAUUACAUCCAUAACUCUUGAUGAAUUGAUGAUAAGUGAGAAGAAGAUAGAUGAUAUCACAACUGCAAACACAAGGGAUACGGCAGAAGAACCCUUAAAUAAAGCCAGUUCCCUUAGACCGUUUCUAACUAAAAGCACUGCCUUUCAACAUUUCUCUCUCCAGAUACGUGCACCAAAGUCUUGCAGGACCUUUUCUCUUUCUUCUAAAUCAUUGUUCGCUGUUCAUAUGGAGAUAGACAACAAAGAUUAAGCAAAACUGAGGACAUUUAGUUUUCUCUCCACUAGAGAGAGAGAGAGAGAGAGAAUUUGAGGACUCUAUAGAGCAUAAAAAACCAAAUGGAAAAGAUCAUCGAAAUAGUUCAUUUUCCAAUCCUAUCAAAAGGUCAGAUGGAAUAUAUGGAACGUGGUUGAAUUAAAGCAUGCCAGAUCAAAUGGAAAUCUUACAUUGAAGAUUCCUCCCUCUUUGGCCUCUUUGCCCAGCAGCUAAUACUAUUUCAACGGAAGAGGAGCAAAUGAUGACCCAAUAUUCAUGUUUUGCCCCAGCUAUCUCUGCCUGAAUACCUGCAAAAGGUCAUGUCCUUGAGAAAUCUAAGCAGCUUCAUACAAAAUGUACAAAAGACAGAAUUAUGGGUUUGCACAUUAAAGAAACUGACUGCAGUUGCCAACUUUAAUUACUCUCAGGAUUCACCUAACCAUUUUAUAUUGGAACGCAGUGCUUUAACUUUUAUGGUGAUUAUUAGAGGCAACUGUUUAUCCAAUACAGCAGCAUCAACUCAAAAACAAUCAGGAAUUUCACGUAUUUAAAUAUCAACACUUUACCAUGUUCCACACAUAAACUCCAAUAACGAGCAAGCCAGCAUCUCUUUAAAACAACCUCUUCCUAAGAUGAAAACUGCAGAUUACGUAACUAUGACAUAAAGGAGUAAACUGACAAAAUGAUUUCUGCAAGAUUAGAAAUAAAGUCAACCAUCUCUUCCUCAGUCAGCAUCAUCCUUUGAGUUACUGUUUGCAGAGAUUUGAUUUCACACUCCGCUUCAUGGAGCUUAUCUAAGGCAGAUGUUGCUUCAUCUCUGGCAAUCUAGCUCAUAAUUAUAGAACAGAGAAAAUUAAGUUAAGCAAGAACAUUUCCCCCUUUUUAAGAAUGGUAAAAUUCAAAAGAAAAAGCCAGAGCAUACAACAUAAAAUUUCAAAAUACCUCAGCCUCUGUCCGAAGAGAAGCAAUCUGUUCGGGUAUACCACCAUGAGUUUGCGUUGCAGCUCUUAAAGCAGCCUGCAAGAAGAACAAUGUCAUAUGCUACUCAGCUGCAGUUCAUAAACCAUGUCCAGACUAAAAUGUAAAAGUAAAAGAAUUAAAGUAGCACAAUGAUUUUUGCAAAAAGAAGUCAGUUAUAAGCAACAAAGCAGGACUAGAUAGAUCUACAAAAGCAAUGAAACUAUUGAAGAUGUUAAGAAUGAAUAAAGCAUGACCUCUGGCAAUCCUUCCUACAGAUCUAAAGCAAACACCAACUUCUGUGCUUAGUGUCUAUUGACUGUUGAGUCGGCAUUUAUUUUUACAUAUCAGAUUCUCAUUUUAAAAUUUAUGCUAAAAAUUUCAUGCACAUGCCUGCUUCAGGUGUAUAUAAUAAACCUAUCUAUGCAUGAAAGCAGUACCAUCUCACAAAGAGAGAUGCAUAAAAAGAUGCAGAAAUAAGCAUAAAUAAACUCAGUAAACACACACUUACAAGACAAAAGAAUGUCUUUUAAGGCUCAUAGUUAUCGAGUAUUAUGUAAUUUUCCAUGCAUAAUGAGACUGAUAACACAUGCAGAUUAGUUUGAGACAAGAAAAGAGUGGCACUCUUUAGAAGUACAAACCUCCCUUUCCUGCAGGGCUGCCUCCUUUCUGAAGAGGAAGACAAAUAGCGCAUAAGAAAAAGGAAAAAUAAAUCACAAUAUAACAUUAAAUUCUUGUAAGCCAUAAACUUGCCUGCUUAAAAGACGUGCUUCUAAAGUUACACCUUCUCCAAGAUUAGCAAUCUAUAUUGAACAUGUUAUGAAUCAAGUAAACAAAUACAUAAUUUUGCUUGCUGGAGCGGUAUAAAGUUCAUUUACAUUUCUCUUGUUUAGUUUUCUUUAAACUGAGAAAAGUUCACCUGUUUCUCAAGCUGCUGAGCUCUUGCUUCUGCUUCCUCACACCUCUCCUCUGCAAGUUGAAGCUGGGAAGGCAAAUAUCAUGGGCAAAAAUAACAGUAUAAGACUAUUAUUAACAUUUUCCGUAGGCCAAAGCACUUAGUUGGCUAACCUAAUUACAUCAGAGUUUUUGGGAGAAAAUGGUGUUGCAAAAGUUAUAUCCAAAUGCCAGUAUUCAGAUAGAUUAUGCCCGUUCAUUUGAAGAUAACUGUUGCAACAAUUUAGGAUAUUGGCUCAGUGCUUGAAGAUGAUGGAGAGCCAAAUUGAUGUGCAUGAAUACAAUAUCAUUUUUCCAAAUAAAACUUUUCAUACAACUUUACUAGAUACAACAAUAGAACAAGUUACAUAACAAAGAAGAAAAAAGUUGCUGGAAUCACCUUUUCAAUUAAACUUUCAUUUUCAUCCUGUAGCAUAUCAAGCUGCCAUGAAAUUCACACCACAUUACUGGAAGAUAAAAAUAAACAUUUUCCUAAGCUUCUUCAUGUGUUUGAUCACAUAGACUGAAAAUUGAAGUGUUCAGACUUGAACAAAUUAAUUAGGUUUUUGAAAAAGAAGAUAUGAUGACCUAUACACCUGCUUUCAAAUAAUUCCUUAGAAACAAAAAAGAAAAAAAUAAAAUUGCAACGAAUAUAUGCUAGAAGGAAACACAUAUUUAGCUUAACGUGACUGUACCUCAUCUUGUAAAGCAGAAGUAGACUGCUGUCUUCCCCUAUCUUUCAAACUGCUCAUACUCCCAAAAUCUGAAGACAAUCUGCUUACACUAUAAAUUUUAGAGCACUAUAGAUGAAACAAAGAAAGAACCUAAACCAGUGCAAUGGGCAUUUUACAUGAUCCCAGGAUCUUGAGACCCUAACAUUAUUAAUUGAGAAAAACGCAUGACGGUGAUGGGCUUAAAUAUUUCCAGGGGAGGGCAUUAUGCAUUCUUGAAUACUGGAAGAGCAGCAACAAAGCCUUUCUUACUGUAGAGAUGAAAACAUAAGGACCUGAAUUACUCAUAUAUAUCUAUUAUCUUGUGACUAUGUUAUAUAAGAAUGUUCUUAAUGUUGUUUAAAUUUAUGACACUCAAUCGCUUCUAAAUCACGAAUCAGAGAAGUUGCUCCAUUUGAUGGCAGAUUUCCUCAUUCUCUUUCUAAUAUAUCUAAAACUUCAAAGACCAAGUUAAAAGGGAAAAUUCACAUUAUAUGUAUAAAACUAACAAAAAAAUAUAAGGGUGACGAAAGAAAAAAAUUGGAGGGGAUUACGAUAUGGAUGAUAACUUCAUCCUUCAAACUGAAAUCACACCAGCUUAGAGCUAUAAUAUACUGUUUAUCUCUCCGAUUAUCAGUUGAAGCCUCUGUUGAACUAACAGAUGAGGUUGGCUUCAGUGGCAUAGGCACUGUAUGAGGUAUCACAGGAACUGCCUUGACUCCUAAAUGUUGGCGACCUGAUGCUGUGGAACGAGCAGAUAAAGGUUGCUCUAUGGAUCUGGUUAAUGGACAUAACCGGCCAGCAGUUGGCUGUUCUGCAGAACCCUGCAGAGAUGGUUGUCCGCCUGAAAUGGAAUAAGGAGACAUGGGUUGCUCCACAGAGCUGAUAGAGUGAGAUGGUUGGCCACUUGAAUAAGAUGAUAAUGGUUGCUCCAUAUUGUUGACAGAUAGAGAGGUUUGACUGCCUGGUGUGGAACGUGUAGAUGGUGGUUGAUCCUGAUUGAUAUGAACUGACUAAUAGCAAAUUUAAAGUUACAAGUAAGAAUUACAUUCAUAAGUAAUAUAAGCAUUAAACAAACAAAAAAUUUAGAUAACUGAGCAUACUCAGUUAACAGACAAAUUACCGAGGGAGAAGAUGAACGUAUUGCUUUUCCACAAGCAAGUCCAAUGGUUGCUGUGCCACUCGCUGAACUAUUAUUAUUUGCAAGGUCAUCCACAUCAUUGUCCUCAUCACCUGGUUGCUGUGCUACUUGUUGCACAGGCCUUUGAGCCAUAGUUUUGGCCUGUGUUUACGAAUGGAAGUCCAUAUAAGAAUGCAUUUCUCAGUAGCAUAAAACUCCAGCAUUAACCGUAAAUCUUUUCCUUAAACUCACAUCAUAACUUGUCUGCUCAAGCUCAUGCUUCUUCUCUCACAUUAGCAUGACAAGCAAGAAAUAGCUAAAACAAAUUCAUAAUAGGAAAUCACAUAAUUACCAUAGAAGGGCGUGACUGCAUUGCCCUACCACGAGCAAUACCAAUGCUUGCUCUGCCACUAACUAAAAGGUCAUCCUCAUCAUCGCCCUUAUCAGAUGCUUUCCGUGUAGUAACUUGUGGCAGCCGCUUCUGAGUUAUGUUUUUAGUCUGCAAAAUUAUACAGUGCUAGUCCACUGAGAACAUAUUUGUUGGUAGCAUCAGGCUUUUGCAUGUAAUGUGUAAGUCACAGAAGUUACAAACUAACGAUUAGACAUCUAUGAAUUAUCUUAUUCAACAAAUUCCUUUGCAACUUAAUAUUAAACUUUCUUCCCUAAACACAUUUCAAGCAGCAACCCAAUUAUAAACAACAAUAUGUUCAAAUCACCAAAUUUGUACUGAUAAGAAAAUCAAAUAAGUAAUUUUGCACGCAAGACCCAUAUGGUUACCAAACAACUAGUCAGCUGAAUAAUACACUUCUCUUUGUAAUAAGUAAUAAUGCAUUAAGGAAUAUUCGGAGUCCUUAAAGACUAAAUCAGUCAAUUACUGAUUUCCAGUGCUCAAGCAUGCAUGAACAGGUCACUCAAUUAUUAGCUUACGACUUAUCUUGUUCACACUCUCACGUUCCAUUUCAUACAGUGUUGACAAAAUGUUACAUUUAUCAGAGACAGCUCAAGCCAAGCUUAUAAAAACACAGUACUUUCAUAGCUCCAAAAGUUAAAAUGACAAAAAGAUAAAUUUAAAAUUUUAAGUCUGAAACUUAAACAACUUGAGCAAUUUUAGAUAAAACCUAUUAUAUGUCCAGAGAAUUUAAAAUUUGUUAUAAAUGUAGCUCAAACUAAGAAUUUAACUUGUCUAAUUGCAUUCAUUUUCUUUCCCUGAGGCUCACUAGACAAACAUGUCUAUCUAAAUCAGAUAGUCAUAUAAUUACCGCAGGAGAGCAUGACUGCAUAGCCCUUCCACCUGCGAGCCCUAUGCUUGAGGUACCACUCACUAAAAGGUCAUCAUCAUCAUUGUCCUCAUCAGAUGGUUGUUGUGGUGCUCGCCUUUGAGCUAUGUUUUGUUCUGGGUUUUACAAGAUAACUUGCAGUAAGAACAUAUUUAUUUGCAAUGUAAAACCAGCUAGCAUGCUAACAUGAACAAGCUUUAGAGCAGCAUAAGAGAGUUUGAAAUACAUUACAAUGCAUGACAAAUUGAUAAUACAGUUAAUAGUGGUCAAAAAAAUCUUUUAUAGAGAAGUGUUAUUUUAACUUGUCAAAUGGAAUUUAUUGAACUACAACAAGUUUGUGCGUCUCACUUUGACACACAUGCAGCUGGUAUAGCUAAAACCAAAUUUGUGUUAGAUAAUUACUGCAGGAGACUGUGACCGCAUUGCCCUUCCACCAGCGAGACCUAUGCUAGCUGUGCCACUGACUAAAAGUCCAUCCUCAUCAGCUGGUUGUUGUGUCAUCACUACUGGAGCUCGCCUUUGAGGCAUGUUUUUGUGCUGGAUUUUACAAUGCAAGUCCAAGUAAGAAUAAAUUGACUUGCAAUGUCAUAAGUCAUAACUCUACCACAUGCAACCAUGAACAAAUUUAGAGUUUAGAGCAGCAUAAGAGAAUUUAAUACUUAAUUGAGUCAUGAUCAUAGCUAAGGAAAGUGUCUUUUAACUUGCCUAAUUCAACUCGCUCUUUUUUCUCUUACCUCUCACUUAACUAACAUAGCAUAGGUCAACCUAAACCAAAUUCCUAGUAUUAGAUAAUUCGAUAUAAUUACCAUAGGAGAGCGUGACUGCAUUGCUCUUCCACCACCAAGCCCUAUACUUGGCGUGCCAGUCACUAAAAUGUCAUCCUCAUCAUUGUCCUCAUCAGCUAGUUGUUGUGUCAUUGCCUGUGGAACUCGCUUUGAGCCAUGUUUUUGUUCUGGAUUUUACAAAGUUAAACCCAGCUGGUAAGAAGUAAGAAUUAUUUAUUUCCAAUGCCAAGCUCUUGCAUAGCAAAAUAGUGUUGAAAAUGCCCAUUAAAGAAAAGUGCCUAUGACAGAACUGAUAAGGGGGUAAGUUUAAAAAAAACAUAUAAAGAUAUUUUAAUCCAUUGUUUCACUUCUUAAACAGUUCAUUAUUCAUACUGAUAUGAAGCUUUAAUCUCAAAAUUAAUGUAAAAAUUGUCAAAACCAUCAUGUUUCGAACACAUACUUGUAUCCGACACCCUACCCCUGAGAUCACGUAACAUUAAAUUACCAUAGGAGAACGAGCACGAGUUGCUCUUCUACCAGCGAGUCCAAUGCCUCCCGUGCCAUUAAUGUUAUUAUAAUCAAGCUGGUCAUCAUCAUCACCCUCCACGUUUUGCUGGUGUGCCAUAACAGCCGCCAGCCUUUGCGCCGCCGCUUUCGUUUGCGCUUUCUUCAUGUUCCCCACGCUUGCGUAGCUUGAUCCCGACCGUCCGUGGCGGUGUAUCGGCGACGAUGAUGUCAGUGGUGAUGCCGGCGUCCCUGGCGUCUCCGAGUCCACCGUGGUCUGAUGUCUCUCGUAUGCUAACUUCCUCCUAUUCAUAUUGACUGCAAUAAACAAAUUGAAAGCAAAAAGAAAAAGAAAGAUAAAUCAAUCCAUAUUAAAAGAAACAAAUACAAAAAACUUAAGAGUUGAACUUAAAACUUACCAGGUUGAUCAAAGAGAAGACUCUGUUUUUCAGUAAAAGGUAAGAAAAACAAGCAUUGUUCCGUGACACAAAAUGGAAAAGAAUGAGAAAAUGGUGAUUAGUUUUCCACGAAAAUGUGGGAAAUUGGAAUAGUUUACGGGGACGCAUUUGAAGUGAAAAAUGGUAAACCAAAGGAUCCGAUAAUUAAGGCAAGAAAAGAGGAAGUUUUAACGGUCCAUUAUUUUUUCUUUUUCUAGAACUGAAAGAUUUUCUUUUACAUGUCAAAUACGUCCCUGUGGGGUGAAUGUCUAAUUUCAUUAUAUUGAGGAAUAUUUUUGCAAUUACCUAAAGUAGUAGUGUUAUACGCUUGUACUGACUCGUUCAAUAAACACUUUUUUAAACAAUAUAACAAUUGAAAGUGCAUUGUUUUUCAUUUAACAACUUUUUUUUUCAUAUUUGAUACUCCUUCUGUUUCAUAUUUUAUGUUCUUAUUUGUUUUUUGGAAUUAAAAAAAAAAGAGAGAUUUAACAUGCAUUAUUAACUUUAAUUUUUUGUAAAAUAUAUAAUUCCUAGUUUUUAAUAUCAAAAAAUAAAAAAUUAUGAAAAAAAAAGUUUGGAAUAUAAAAAAAUUAAGAAUUUUAGGUUUUUAAAAAAAUAUAUAAUUUUGAAAAAAAAAUGAGAUUGAAAGAGUAAUGACAAUACAAUAGAAUUCUUUUAAUUCUUCUAUAAAAAAAAUGAAAUUCUUAUAAAACCUUUUGUAGUGGUAGAAAUGUUUAAGUAAAAAUCAUUUGUCUUAGGCUAUGUUUUCCAUGCACUACCAUGUUAAAUUCAAAUGGUAACAAAACAAGAAUUUUUUUACUAAAUUUUUUUUAUUAAUGUUUUAUUUGGAUGACCAAUAGAAAACGAUUCCUACCACAUCAUCAUUAGAAACCGGAUUGCGACAAUGCAAGCACUGAUCACUCAGUAAUCUGAACUGGAAACCUGUUCUUUUUCUUGCUUUUGAAACACCAUUGGUGUUUUUUCGUACAAUUGCGAGCGAUUAACAGUAAGAACCAGGUCAAUAAUGUUGGAAUUUAAAAAAACAAAUAGGAAUGAAUAAGCAAAACUGAUAGAAGAAAAUAUCAAAAGAAAAAAAAAAAAUCUUUGACUUUAAAUGCAAAACAAAAUAGGAAAAACACAUAGGUUAGCAAAGACAUGUCACAACAGCAUUUUGAUGCAAUAUUUCUGGAAGACAGCAAUAAAAUGUUUUACCUGCAUACAGUAAUAAACUCAAUUUUUAUUUAAGCAUAAGUGACCAUUCGCUAUUCAACACCCAAUUAAACACAGAUGCAGAGAGAAAACACCAAUUUAGAACGCCUGAUACCAAAUAGUCCAACAAAAAAACAUUUCCUCGAUGUAACAUAGCAUGCUAAAAUGACAAAGUUCCUUCACCUUGACAGGAAGAUGGCAGUCGGAUUUCCAGGGGAUGGAGGAUUCUGCUUUAGCAGGGAUGCAUGAGGACCAGCUUGAACAUAAGCAUCAGGAUCAGUGGCCGACAAGACUUCUACCUCUUCAAGACCAAGUUGUCUUUUGAUCAAGUCCAAGUUCUCCUUAAGGACCUGAAUCUCUCCAAAGGGCAGCUUCAAAUCCAGGACUUGGGCACCAAUUUUAAUAGCCUCAUCCUUCUUGAACGUCAAGAAUGGCAUACAACGUUUCUGGAUCUGUUUAAAGUCUGCUGCCUGACCAACAGUGCUCUCCUGCAAUGCGUUCAUUAUCUCCCCGUCUGAUGCAAAAGUAUGGGUCUUAUUGUCGAACUUGCUUUGGAGAAUCUGCAAACACUCUGCUUGCCAUCCUUCAAAUUGCUCAUUCACAAAGAUUAGGCCUUUUAACUUGUCCUCAGUUAGCGAUGUAACAGGAGCACCUUUCUUAUUAGCUUUCUUUGAUCCCAAAAUCUGCUUCUGGAGCAGCUUUCUCAUCAACACAAUGGAAUCUUGCAAAUACUUAUCGGCACUCUUGAGUUGCAGAUCUGGAGAAUCUGCUGUGGGCCAGCCUGCUUUCACCACAAAGCCAUCCUUCUUCAAAAGCUCUCUCCAAACAAACUCCGCAUAGUGAGGGCAGAUUGGAGUGAUAAGCCUAGUCUGCACAUCCAUAAACCGCCAUACGAGGUCACGGUUCAUGCCCCCACUGCCACAAGAGAACCUAUACUCAUCCCUGGCAGCUUGAAGAUCAUAAAAGCCAGUCUUGAGAGCCUCCCGAAACAUGUAAUCCCUAUAAUUCUGCUCAGUCAUUUUGACAGCAAUGUUUAUCUCAUUUUCAAACACCCGAUCAGCAUAGGUAGAUGGGGGAUCUGUCCUCAAAGACGAUUCUGCAGCCAGAAUCUCUUCCAUCCAUGCAAUCUCUUUUGUAAGCCGUAAGAUUGCAGCAUUGGCAGUCUCAAACACAAAGUUUGCAUCAUCUACACCAUCCCCAGCAUCAGCCAGAGAGAAUCUUGUAGCAUCAGCAGAGAAUUCCUCAAUUGCCUGAUGCAGUGUCCUGAAAUUUCCAGUAGACUUGGACAUCUUCUCUGAAUUAAGCAUAAUAUGUCCAUUGCACCUGAAUCCACGAGGCCAGUGAUCCUUGGACAUGAUUGCUGUGUGAUUGUAGAUGCAAAAUGUUAAAUGGUUCUGGAUAAGGUCUUUUCCAGAAACUCUAAGAUCAAAUGGAUACCAGUACUCAAACUCCUGCUUCAUCUUGUUAAGAACAGAGGAUGGGAUAUCAGAAGAUUUGGGAUACUGACCACCACAGAAGAGAAAUUCCCAGACCUCAUCAGUCAUCUGGGCAGGUUUAACCAGAUCGGCACUUUUUCCGUACAUGUCCCCAUUUUGUAAAAGAUGAGCAACUGUGUAAUAAGCCAUGUAAAUGGUUGAGUCAGAUAAUGACUCAACAAGGAAUUCUGCAUCCCAAGGAAUGCGAGUCCCAAGCCCAAAGGAUCGUGAGCAAGCCCAUUGGUUCAGCCAUCCUAAAGUAUGUUCAAAGCCAUGUCGUGUCUCAUCAGAGUAUAGAUUCAUGUUGGAUAAGCACUCCUCAGCUACUUGUUUCCAUUCCGGUUCCCCAUAUGUGAUGUACCAUUGAUCUGUAAGAGCCACAACACACUCAUCACCAGACCUUGACAUAACCUUCUUCUCAGGCUCACUAUAAAUUAUUGCCUGGCCUGUCUCAAUCAGUUUGGUCCUUAUCAGUGCCUUAGCUUCCUGGACUCUUCUUCCUGCAUACUCUCCAACAGUCAUGGUUCCCUCUGUAAAACCUCUCAAGUACACCAACCUCUUCGCCUCAGCAAGCUUUUCUUUCUCAUUCUGACUUUUGAUUUUCAGAUCCACACAAACUUUUUCAGCUGCCCUGUCUCCAAAUUCUGGAAUGUCAAUGAUGGGUAUAAUCUCAAAUGGCAAUACCCAUUCAUCCUUCACCCCAAACUUUGCCCGAAAAGCGGGUUUUGCUUUCAAAUCAUGUAAGGCCAUAUAAUCAUCAGGAGCAUCGCUAGGAACACUGGUCACGAUCCCUGUACCUUUGUCUGUUAGAAUUGUCAUCAUUGGAAGAGCAUAUAUGAUCUCAUUAAAUGAGAGAGGAGAUUUUACAGGAAGACCAAUCAGAUCAUAACCAGUCAGUUCAACCAAGCAAUUAGGUUUUUCAGGGACGCGGGAGAGCUUCUGAUAAGCAAGGUUGAGUGCUGCUCUCUCAGUCAGAAUAAAUAUCUCAGUUUCAUUGAUUUCAAAGGCUCCGUAUUUCCCAUUAGGCAAAACCCAGCAGUUUGUUUGCCCAUACAUGGUCUCAGGCCUCAAUGUUGCAGCAGCCAAAAACACUUUUUUCCCUUCCAAAACACGCAUUUUAGCUGGAAAAGGUGGCACCACUUCCAUUUUAAUAAUAGUAUACUCUUGAGGCUGAACUCCUUCACCAGUUGCCCUAUCAUGAUCAGCACAUGGCUGACUAUCCAAUGGAGAAUAUAUAGUAUACCUCAUAUCUUUAACAAUCUUACCCAUCGAUUUCAACUUCCUCAUCUGCCACUUAACAAACGAAUCAAAAAACGGAUUCAUAUCUGUGGUCACAAAUGACCUUCUCCAAUCACAACCUAAUCCAAAAGCCUUGAGGUCUUGAACAGCCAAUGGCGGAAAGAACUUCAACCAUUCAUACGGGUUCUGAAACUUUGAUAUCUCACUAUCUGAAAGUCCAAAACUCCUCAUAAUUUCCCACUGAAACAUCUGUCCACUAGAUUUCGAUGCCGCCUUAGACUUUUUACCUUUAAACUUAUCAGGCGCCACAUUGGCAUCUUCAUUUGGGUCAGAUUCUUCUGUUGGGUUAGGUUCCUCAUCCACUACCUCAUGAGGAAAAAUGGGUGGAUCACCAAAUUGUUUGAUUUCCCUAGCAAGUUUAUCAGCUGAAGCCUUGAUUGGCAUACCGGUACAGUGAAAAGCAAAAGGCAAUAACACAUUGGCACCUCUUAAUCUAUGAUAAGCAGCAGCAAACUCGAGUUUCGAAAGCGAAAAGGCAUGGCCCAGAUGUAAAAAACCAUUCAUAUAAGGAAAAGGAAAGUUCCCAAAGAAUUUUUCACCUGGUUGAGGUGGUUUUUCAUUAGGUUCAGCUUUAAACACAUCUUUUUCUUCCCACCAAACUCUAACCUUUGACUCGAUUUCGAGGAGUUUGUCUCUCCUGGCAUAGCUCUUGCCUCCCUCUGUUGCCAUCUCGUGAAACCAAUGGAAACUGUUCAAAACCAAAACAAAAUAAAAUUCAUGAAAAUGAAACAGAAAGAAAACCAAAAAAAAAAAAAAAUGGAAGAAUCUUUGGAAAGGAAAGUGCCUGAGUUUAUUGAGGAAGAUGGUGUUGUGCCUACGAAGAAUCUUUGCUGAGUUGCAACGGAUAUAGAGCAAAUGAGUGGAGAUGAAGGAGGAUAAAGAGAAAAGGGGGAGACUGCGUUGAGUUUCAGUUCCAGUUACAGGGCUAGAUUCUCAUUGUUUGUUUUUACAGGUUUUUAGGGUUUUAAUGAUUAUUAAUUUUAAAUUAAAAAGGCCUGCCCCAACUUUUUAACAGAUCAAGAAACAGACCCAAUGUAGGAAAUAACCCAAUUUCAACAACUUUUAAUCAGACUGAGAAAGAGAAGCCCAACUAGGGGGGCAACUAACUGAACUGGACCAAUCCCAAUCUUAUGCUUAAGCCGAAACCAAAUUCGUGCCAUUUUUCUAUAUUAAAAUGCAGGAGGGGCAAUUUUAAAAAUGAGUAAAACUUUUUAGGUUGUAAAAUUGACAAAAUUUUUAUAUAAGUAUGAUCAAAUUGUCAAAUAUAUUUUGUAUUUGAUAUGUUCACACUGAUUGUAAUAAUAAUUUUCAUAUUUUACUUGACAUGAAAUAAAUAUAAUAUAAAUAUAUAAAUUAUUAUGUCUAGAUUUAGUCUGUUGCCUAAAUAAAAAAAUCUAAUUGUUGUAUAAAGAUAGUUUUUCAACCUUUAUGCUUAUUGCUUUGGAUCAUCUGAAAUUCUCGUAGCCAUAAUUAACCAAAAUUCUGCCAAAUGCUAUGGCCCCAAAAUUUGUUUCUCAUCUCAUUGAAAUAGAUAGUUGCCGACUAAGGGAUCACUUUGUUGGCUUCCAUUUGUUAUCCUGGUCAGUCUGCACUUUUGAGCAAUUUCAUUCGUUCAAAACUAAGCAGGAAUCUGCUAUGCAAAAGUACAAAUCUGGUAUUACAACCAGACAAAACAAGAUUACAUAGGAAAAAACUAAUGCACAAAGAUUCUCCUUGAUUCAGCUUCCAACUUUGGCCGCAGAUGAAUUUAUAGGUUUGUUUUUGUAGUCAUGGACAGACAAUUAAUUCUUGUCCGUCAUUUUUAUUUUCUUGUUUUGGUGAAUACUAAAUAUAACUAUUAUUAUUUGUCCUUCGAAAAACAAGGUCAUUGUACCAUAAUAUUAAGUGUAGCCAAUUGGCAAAGCUAGAAACAAAUACUAAGUAAUUUCAGUAUCUGUUCUCAAGAAGGAAGCUGAUAUCCCUUGAUUGCAGGACGGCGGAUUCUUUGGUGGUAAGGAUAGAGUUGACUCCUGAAAAUUUUCCUGGGAAAAUUUACUUCAGUUUAUAGAAGAAAAUGGCAAAGCCGGCAAUGAGAUUCCAAUAAUCAUGGACAAUUGGCAAAGCCGGCAUGUAUAUGUGAUGGGGACUUUAGCUAUGGAAACCUACUGCACAUUUGAUGUGAAGGUAAAUCAAUACUACUUUGAAAGCUAAAAAUAGUAACUGAAUAAAAGAGAUUUAAAGCAAGAAUAUUUAACAAUAUAUUUGAUUGUUGUUUUUGUGCCAAAAGAGUUUAAAAAAAAAAUGUGUCAAUAGGGAAAGCGAAACUGAUAGCAAAUCACUUUGUAAUAGCAAAGCCAAGUAAGGGCUCAUUUCUUGCACUUGCAGAGGAAAAUUAGACAAAAAUCAUGUUCUUCCAUCACCCCUUUUCACUGGAAUAGAAAAAAAUUGAAGUAUUACAACUGGUUUUCGUUGAUUUCAAAGGUAGUAGGCUGGCUCACAAUUUACCUUGGAUGAACAAUGAGUAAGGUUGGUUUAUAGAAUUCUCUCUAAUGUACAUUUUUUAAUUCCUUAGUGACAAAGACAAUGGGGAAAUUAAAGUCUUUGGAUAGACAUUUCAAAUGCAAAAUUCCAAAUGGGAAGAAAACGAAGCAAUAGUACUAUAAAAGUUGUUUGGGACAGCAAUUAGUGCAUUGAAUCAUUUAAAGCACUUCUGUCCCUUUUUUUCAAUGGUCCAAAGUCUCAACCACAAAGCAUAAAGAAGAAGGCAACCGAAAUGAGAAAUUGUGAAGGAAAAAGUUCAAUGUUCCAAGUCUUCUUUCCUUCCAUCUUAAAAUUUGUCAUCAUAGCCUGCCUAACAUUAAUUUUUCCAGCUCCAACCUUAUCCUUGCAGUCUGCAAUCAAUGUUUGGCCUAAACCGAUACUACUUUUAUGGCCAAAGCCACUUGCCACAUUCCUCUCUCCAAACUUCACCAUCAGUUCCCCCAACCACCAAUACCUCAUCCCGGCCAUCAACCGCUACCUCCGCCUUAUCCAGACAGAGCACCACAAUCCCCUUGUCACCCCUUCUGUCAACAUUUCCACCUCAUCCCCUCCUUUGCAAACUCUUACCAUCAAUAUAAUUGAUCUCACCGCCCCCCUCCAACAUGGGGUCAAUGAAACCUACGCCCUCUCCAUUUCUGAAGUAGGUGCCACCGCCUAUUUGACAGCUGCAACUACAUGGGGUGCAAUGAGGGGCCUAGAGACGUUUUCCCAGCUGGUGUGGGGUGAUCCCUCAGCUGUUCCGGUAGGCUUGUACGUCUGGGAUGCUCCCUUGUUUGCUCACAGGGGAGUCAUGUUGGAUACAUCAAGGAAUUAUUAUGGGGUGGAUGACAUAUUGAGGACUAUUGAAGCAAUGAGUGCUAACAAGCUUAAUGUGUUCCACUGGCAUAUUACUGAUUCACAUUCUUUUCCUCUAAUGGUGCCUUCGGAGCCUGAGCUUGGUGCCAAGGGAUCUUAUGGACCUGACAUGAUAUACUUUCCCUCAGAUGUGGCUAAGAUUGUUCAGUUUGGCUUGGAACAUGGGGUCAGAGUCCUACCAGAAAUCGAUUCACCAGGUGAGCUUGUCAUAACAGUAACUUUUUCCUCUAAAAAAGCGUGGUAUGACUGUUCAUUUUUAUAUUAACUGAUAAUAAUAGUUUCAUGCUUUUAUAUAUCAGUUUAUAAAUUGACAUAUGUAAAAUUUUUGUUGUAUUUUAUGAUUUUAGAGUUGAGUGAAGUCCAAUUCUACAAAACAAAGCACUCUCUUUGCACACUGCACACAACAUGAAAUGAGAUUAUCAAAAUAUUUUUCAAUUGCAAUUGCAGGCCAUACGGGAUCAUGGGCAGAAGCCUACCCGGAGAUAGUGGCGUGUGCAAACAUGUUCUGGUGGCCAGCUGGAAGUCAAGGGGAUGACAGGCUUGCAUCUGAACCAGGAACUGGCCAUCUAAACCCCUUGAACCCCAAAACCUACCAAGUUCUCAAGAACGUAAUUCGUGAUGUAGCCAUGCUAUUCCCUGAACCAUUCUACCAUGGAGGAGCUGAUGAGAUAAUUCCUGGAUGUUGGAAAGCUGAUCCAACCAUUCAAACUUUCCUUUUUGACGGUGGAACUCUUAGCCAGCUCCUGGAAACCUUUGUGAACUCCACUUUGCCUUACAUUCUAUCCCUUAAUCGUACUGUAGUCUAUUGGGAGGAUGUUUUAUUAGAUGAAAAUAUCAAAAUAGACCCCUCAUUUCUUCCAAGGGAACAUACCAUUUUACAAACAUGGAACAAUGGCUCAAACAACACCAAAAAGAUCGUUGAAGCGGGAUAUCGGGCAAUUGUAUCAUCUUCAGAAUUCUAUUAUCUGGAUUGUGGCCAUGGGAAUUUUCUUGGCAAUGAUAGCCAAUAUGAUCAGCAAACAACGGCUAACUCUGGAAAUGGAGGGUCUUGGUGUGGACCAUUUAAAACGUGGCAAACUAUUUAUAACUAUGACAUAACUUAUGGUUUGAGUGAAGACGACGCCAAAUUAGUGCUAGGUGGAGAGGUGGCAUUGUGGUCAGAACAAGCUGAUCCUACAGUUGUGGAUGCGAGGAUUUGGCCAAGAACUUCAGCAAUGGCAGAGACAUUAUGGUCAGGAAACCGGGAUGAGACAGGGAAAAAGAGGUAUGCUGAGGCAACUGAUAGGUUGAAUGAAUGGAGGUAUAGAAUGGUAAGUAGAGGGAUCAAGGCUGAGCCAAUUCAGCCACUGUGGUGUGUUAAGAAUCCGGGAAUGUGCAACACGGUCAAUCCCUUUUGAUUUCAUAGAUGUUUAAUUGUUUUAACACAGACUUCAGAGACCAGUGAAAAAAGAAAUUGAUUCUGUAAUUCUCUUUCAUUUUCAACUUGUAUUUGAUGUUUCAAUUGAUUAGCAAAAGAAUUGUCCUAUAAAUUGCAUAUGUGCUAAAUUUCUUGUUAGUUCUAGCAAUAAGUAGUAAAAGGAUAAAAACAAACAUCUGUUUUUUAGGAAGAAAUCAUGCAAGAGAGUGAAACCCAAAGGCAGGAACUUUUGAGAGAAAUUAUGCAAGUGGAAGAUAGAUGAGGGCAUGACUUACUUGAAAAAAAAGCAAUCAAAGGGAUAAAUACCCAUGAAAUUUGAAAGGAUAAUAAAAUUGAGACCCACACCAAUGAAAUGACAAGUUACAGGGGAAAUAAUAAAAAAAAAAAACCAAAACAUUAAUUAAAUACUGUUGAAAGAGACUAAAAUCCGCUAAUAGUAUAUUAUAUAAAAGAGAUUAAAAAAAAUUAAGAGAAAUUCUUUCAUUAACAAUUAGUAGUGUUUGAUAUUAAGUGAUCACUUCAAAAAUUAUGAUAAUUUAUAUACAAUGAUUAGAUUAUCAUGUUUGAUAAAUACUUAAUGAUCCUAUGUGAUUGUGAUUUUGAAGGAUAAUCUAAUUCUCAUUUGAAAUGAUGAAAAGCUUUUAUCAUCCUAAUAUAUAAAAUUAGUAAUAAUCAAUAUUACUUAUUUAAUAUGUGAAUUAAAAUUUUGAUUUUUCUUAAAAUUAUAAUUAUUUUAUAUUAUAAAUUUUUAUAUUUUAAACUAAUAUUCAUUAUAACAAAUUAAAAAAUAGUUUGAGUAUUUUUUACUUUUUUAUUGUUUUAUAUAUAAUAAAAUAUCUUUUUUUAUUAUAAUUUUAAUAGAUUAAUUUUAUUUUUUUAAUUCAAUUUUUUAACAUAAUUUAUAUUAUAAAAAUUAGUUUAUUUAAUAAAUAAAUAUAUUUAAUAAUUUAAUUAUAGUAUAAAAUAAAUAAAAUAUUGCCAUUUUUUAUGAAUUAUUAUCUUUAAAUAAUAUUUAAAUCAUUAAUUUGUAAUUAUUACAAUAAAAUUGUUAUUUUUGUAUUUUUAAAUAAAUAAUAUUUUAUUUUUAAUAAUUCAAAUAUAAUGAUUUUUUAUUCGUAUGAAUUAAUUAUUGUUAACAAAAAAAUGAUUUUAAAUCACGAAUAAUAAAACUCAUAGUUAUUAAUUUCAUUUUGAUACAGAUCAGUAUGCGAUAACUAUAUCAAAAUACAAUACACCAAGAGAUGAUUUUUUGUACUGAAUUUGUUACAAGAUAAAACUAAUUGUUUUUGUUAGUUUCAAUAAGUUUUAAUGAAUUUUGGUGGAAUAGCUUAUUUUGAUUAGUUAGUAACUGUAAAAUAUAUUUUAUAAUUUUUAACUUAACCUUUAUAGAUUAAUUAUUUUAACCUAAUAAAAACAAAAUUAAUUGACAAAAUAAUCUUUAAAGGUUUAGUUUCUUUAUUUUUUAUUUUAAUUUUUUUUAUACUUUAUCUUUUCAAAUCAAAGUUUAUAAUUUUAUAAUUUAUUUUUUCAAAUUAAAAUUUAUUAAUAUUUCAAUUUUUUUAAGAAAGUAAUUAUGCUCAUUUUAUAAAGUUUAACAAUCAUAAAGCAUUGGUUAACUUUUUUAUUCUCUUUGUUUUUAUCUUAAUAUUUACAUAAAAAAUAUUUAUUUAAAUAACAUAUGAUCGGAUUAAGUGUUUGAAAAUAUUAUGAAAAAUUUAUAAUAUUGUUUCUGAUACUUUUAAACUUAUUUAUUUGAUUUUUGAAAAUAUUGCAUAUUUAGUUUGUAAAUUAUUAAUAGUAUUAUAAUGUACAAGUUUAUGUAUGUUUAUAAAUAUAUUUGUACUAAAACAAAAAAUCCAAAAUAAUAUAUCGAAACAAUUGGUACCGAUAUAUAUUAUUUAAAAAAAAUUAAAAUAUUAUCCAAUAUGAUAUUAAUAACUUUAACAAAAUCACCUUAAUAAUAAAAUCAUUUAGAUGAUUAUAUUUUCAUGAUAAUAUUAAAAAUAACAUCUAAUGAUACCCUUAUUAUAAUUUUUUAAACUUCUUAGGACAAAUUAAUAAGAUAAUACAUAUGUAUUGAAAAUAAAAAAUAUAAUUAGAAAUAAAAAUAUAUUAAUCUUUUAAUUUCGUGGGUGAAAUUAAAAAAUUACACAAAUAAUACAGAAAAACGAACUCAAAAAUUAAAUGAAAGUAAAACAUUUGACACAGGAUUCUGUGGGCUAUAUAAGCCUUUAGAUUUUUUUUUCCAGAAUUCACGGUGGGCUAAAACCCAAUAUGAUCCAAAAUUCAGGUUCUUGGAUCCAUAGUUUAAGUAGCCUAAGAACCCAAACUUAGUCCACGAAAAUCUGUUAACUUUUUCAUUUUCCCAAACUACUUUUCAAACAAUAUUUUUUUAAUUUCUUUCACCAGCAAGUCAGCCACCUGAUUUCGUGAUUCGAUCAACAAACCCGAACCUUUCGAAAUUACAAAACCAAAUCCUGAGAAUCUCAAUUUCCCAUCUCUGAUUCUUUUUUUUUCUAACUUGUUUUCUUCCCUAUUUUCUUUAUGAAAUUAAACUACUAAAAGAUGCAGUCUCUUGAAAGCAUCACAGAUUCCUCAUUUCCUCAAAACCCUAACAAUUCUUCUUCUUCUUCUGUUAAUGGGUUGUAUGGAUGGCUCUUUGAAUGUCAUGGAAUUUGGCAUAACUUAGCUCUUGUUAUUCCUUCUCUUCUAUUUGUUCUUUUCUUAGGUUUUCAAGCCAAAAGAAGCUUCCAAAAGCUCUCUCAUGGCAGGUCUUAUAUCAUGAUUUCUUAUUACGGUUGCCUUUGGCUUGUUAGCUUGCUCAAUCUUGCUUGGUGUUCUCUUCAGGUUUGAGGGUUUUCUUUUUUCUCUAAGUCGAUUUUAAACAUUUGGGUUGUUCUUGAAUUAGCUUGUUGAUUUCUUAAAGGAUGAAAUUAAAUUGCUUUUUGUUGUUUCUAGGAAAUGAAUGCACUUUUUAUUUUUAAUUCUUCACAAGUUUGUUUAGUUUAUAUCCAAAAUACUCUUUUUUUUUCUUUGCAUCUAUGGCAUACGCAACAACUAAAUGGUACCUAAAUUAGUGGAAUGUAAUUUGGGUGUCUUGGGUUCAUUAGAAAUGGCUUGAAAGUUACUAUACUUGAUGAUUUUUCGCGUUAUGGUAAAUUACAAAUUGGAUUAUUGGACAGUUUUCAAGUUUUAGUUUUUAGGUUAGGCUUCUUUGAUGUCGUAUGUAAGAACAAUGCUCAGAAGCCAAUAAUGAUAAUAUAUAGAUCAGUGAAAUGAAAAUAUGUAUAGCAAAAGCCUUCUUUGUCGAGCUUAGAUGUUCAAUAGAUGCGUCUAGGCACUAAGCUUUUGGUAUGGCAUGAGUUUGCGACUAACUCAUUCAUUAUCAUGAAUGGUGUAUAAUAUCAUGAUUGUUCCUUUUUCAUAGUGUAUGUUUCCGUUUCGUAAGCAUGAGUAAAUUUUUUUUUUCUUUUACUUUUUUUUUUCCAUAUGAAUUGUAUAUUGGUGAUCCUUAACAGAUACUGUUUUCUUCUUAAUUUGGCUUCUUUGAAAAUGAGUUGUGUUAAGCAGCUUGGCUGCUUAUCGUUUGAUAGUUUGAAGAGUUAGGGUACUAAACUAUAUGCUUUGAGAGAACUCAUAUCCGCUAGGAUUUAUGAAACAUGACCUGCAUUGACCCUUGAAGAUUCUUAUUCUAGUUGCGAGUAAGUUAACUUUUUCCACUUCAUAGCUGGAUGGCUAAGUUUACACUAUUUACUGAUUGAUGCAGGCCUGGGAAUGCAGUCCUGGAAAGGAAAUGACAUGGAAUAUCUUAUCGUUGUUUACAACUUCUGGGAUGCUGUUCCUGGAAGUUAGCUUGGUGGCAUUUUUACUUCAAGGAAAUUAUGCUAGUGGGUUGGAGGCUUUGACUCGAACAUUUGUUGUUUCGGGGCUUAUUGUUGGUUUGGACUUACUUCUGAAGGUACUUCUUUUAUUCUUGAAUAUUUUAACCUUCUUUGAAGUUCCAUAUCUGUUGCUGGUGAAUCAGACGGUGGUGGAAAAACAAAACAGUUUCUUCCUUACUGUACUUUACUAAAUAGCAGAGUCACCAUUCCUGUGGCCUAUAUUUAGAUUGUUGACCUACUUUAACUUCUUAAGCAAUCUAGAAUGCUAAGUAUGAUUGUUUAUACGUAUUUAAGUUGUUUUAUUUUCUAAUAUGGAAAGACACACAAUGUCAUUCCUUUUUGUGUUUUUCCCCUUUUGAAUUCUUUAUAAUAUUUUUGCAUCAAUGCUUAAUAUGUUGUGACAUUAAUAUUUCAAUGUUCUUUUCCCUCGUUUAGGCUAUUUACCUAUUUGGAUUUGGUGUCCCUAUGUUCACUGACAACACCGAACAUACACAUCAAGUGAAAUGGGGCUUGUGGGUUGUUCACAGGCUAGUGCUGACUGCUAUUUAUGGCUUCAUACUGUUUAUGUACCACUCUAAGUGGAGAGAAAGGUUACCUGGUAUGUUCAUCUAAGUCACAUACAUUUGUGCAGGUUAUUUAACAGUAGUCGCUUAGUUGUGUCACUUGGAAUCUUCUCUCUUGUUCUGCAGCAAGACCUGCAUUCUACAAAUAUGUUGCAAUCAUGUUCAUCUUGAAUGCACUAGCACUGAUUGCUUGUGGACUAACUGGAAAUGGUGCUAGUUUUGGGUUUUGGUAAAUACAAGCUUGAUGCCCUUUUUAAAUUGAAGAAUUCUGUUUGUUAUUUAUAUUAGUAUAUUAUGUUCUUUUCCAAGGGUUUUUUUUAAAAGAAUAAGAUUGACAGGUUGUACAGUGCCACAAUUGUUUGCUACCACGCCUUGUACCUUCCUCUUCUGUAUAUAACUUUUCUGGCAGAUUUUUUCCAGGUAAACAUUUAUUUCGGAUUCAUUGCAAAAAUUUUAUCUUGUUAUUGAUUCUUUAGCACCUUAUAAUAUGUUAGUACGGUAAAAGUAUCUCCAAUGCCUGCAGGAGGAAGACUUGCACUUAGAGAAUGUGUACUAUUCAGAGAUGAAAGAUGCUGGUUUCUUUGAUGCUGACUGGGAGUGAGCACUGUAUCAACUUUGAAUUACUAGAUUCCCUUUUCGUUAGGAUCUGUAAAUGAAAUUAAAUGCAAUUCAGAUUGUAAAAUGUUUGAUGAAAGGGAUGGUUGAUCGAUGCAUGCAUGUAGUAUUUAUAGAUACUGCUCUGGUAAUGGCGACGGUAAUCCUGUAGCUCGUAUAUUUGUAAUAAUCUCCUGUUUUAUAAAUUUAAGUUGAUUGCAAAUAAAACUUGUUCAAUCUUCUUGUAGCAAAAAAACUAGAAGCAUUGUGUACGUUCUUGUAGAAUUUCUCUUUUAGUUUUUGUGUUAUUGUAAUAAAAUUCCAAUUAACAGCUUCAUGUUGAUGGUGUUUAUGCAUACUAAUAGAUUGGUUAUCCUUCACGGUUUCCCUUUGCAUUAUUACCGCAGGUUUGUUGAUAUUUACUCUUUGCCUCAGCUUAAUGGGGCUGAGGCAUCAAAUAUCCGAAACAUUAGCCGUAUCUUUAUUUCUCCAGGCUUCAUUGUGUCGGUCUCUUUAAGAGUGUAAAUGAUAUAUUAGUAUUUAUAAAUUAUUCGAAUUUAAUAUAAAUAAAAUUUUAAUUUGGUUCAAUUAUUAUCGAGUUUGAGUUCGAGUUCGAGUAGCUCGAUUUAUCGAUCGAGUUGAUCUUAAGUAUUUUUAUAUUCGACUCGAGUAGUUCACAAGUUUAAUUGAAUUUUUAUAUUUUAAUAUAUUUUAAUUAUUUUAAUUGAUAAAAUAUUUUAAACUCAAGUAUAAAUAAUUAAGUUUUUAUCGAAUAUAAGAAUUGAGUUUAUUUUUAUAUAUUAAUUAAGAUUAAUCAAAUGAAUUUUAAUAGUUAAAUUUUUAUUUCGAAUCAAACUUAAAUUAAAAAAAAAAAAAUUCGAUCGAGUUUAAAACUUUAAAUUUGAAAUUAAAAUUAAUUUUAAAUUUAAUGUUAUAUUUAUUCAAACUUUAUUGAUUAUACUCUUAAUUUUAUCUAUGUUAGUGAAGCUACGGGACAUCUUUUUCUAAGGCCUCAGUUGGAUUUAACUGAAGCUUCAGUGUGUUGCGUUUUCUACACUUUUUUCCUUCAAUCUCACCGUGAUUCAUAUUUGGAUAACAUCAAUGAUGGUGAGUUUACUAGCGUGAAUCGCACUAAAACAUCAGUUGAAGACAGGACUUUUGGGGUUCAAUGCCAAUAAAUCUUUUUUAUUCACAUUAUUUUUUUUAUAUUCUUAUCAUGCCCUUAAAUGAGUUUUUAUUUAAAAAAACCUAAAAUAUGAUUUUUUUUAACUUAUUUCUCUCUCUUUCUGUUUCUGUCACCAUCUUAAAUUUUUAACCCUAAAUUGCCUCCUCCUUCGUAUUAUCGCCCCUUGCUACUGUCACUUGUUCCAUUUCCCCUUGCUAUUGUCACUUGUUCCAUGUUAAGGACAUUAGAUAAAAAUAUUAUUUGAUAUUAAAAAAUUUAAAAUUUUGUAAUUAUUUAUUAAUUUAAAAAUAUUAAAAAUAUAUAAAUUUAUUAUACAUAAAUUUUAAUUUAAUGUUAAUGUAAUGUUUUUAAUGAUAAUUUUUUAUUUUUACUAUAUUUUAUUUCACCAUUACUAUUAAUUUUACAUUUAAAGAAGGUGAUAAGCUAAUGAGAUACAAAACUCGAUUGGUGGUAAAAGGUUUUUGUCAAAAAUUUGACAUUGAUUUUAAUGAGAUCUUCUCUCCAGUUGUAAAAGAUGAGUUCUAUUCAAGUAGUACUAGGAUUAGUAGCUAGUUUGAAUCUUGAGCUUAAACAACUUGAUGUCAAGACUGCAUUCUUGCAUAGUGACUUGCAAGAGAAUAUUUAUAUGGAUUAGUAAAUUUUGAUAAAAAAAAGUACUUAGUUUUGUAAAAUGAGAAAAAAAAAUGUAUACUUGAAUAAGCCCUGAUAGUAUAAAAAUUUGAUUUUUAUGUAGAAAGCUAUAAAAAAAAGUAACGAAUUUUAUGAGAAUGUCAAAAAAAGAUGGUAAUUCAUAUUAUCUUAAUAUGUGAUGAUAUGUUGAUUGCGGACAAAUUAAUGUUAUAUGGUUCAUAAGUGGAAAACAAUUAUCUAAGUCUUUAACAUGAAAGAUUUAAGUAACAAGGCAAAUUCUUGGAUGAAUAUUAUCAGAUAAAGAGCUAAAAAUUUGUUGCCAAAAAAAAUGUCAAAUGAUUUUGUAUAAUUCAAAACUAUAACAUGCUAAUAUUAGUAGUCCAUUUUCAAAAAUUUAAUGUUGAGUAAAAAAUCUUAUCUGAUGACUAAAGAAAAGUAAUUAGCUAUGUCUAGUAUUUCUUAUUCUUCUGUAGUCGAUUUCUUGAUGUAUCUUAUAGUUUGCACAUGACCUAACAUUGCUUAUGCAGUUGGUGUAAUGAGUAGAUUUCUUUCUAAUUUAGGGAAGGUUCACUGAGAAGUAGUGAAAUGAAUUUUUAGAUAUUUAAAGGGCACCUCAAAAAUAUGUUUGAGUUACGAAAUUUCACAACCAAUUCUAGAAGGGUUUACUAAUGCUAACUUAACAGAUGAUCUUGAUGGUAGAAAAUUUACUUUAGGGUAUUUGUUCACUUUUACAGAAAAAGCUAUGUCUUGAUAUUCUAAGUUGUAAAAGUGUGUUACCUUAUCAACUACAAAGGCUAAGUAUAUUACAAUAACCGAAGCAAGUAAAGAAAUGCUUUGGAUGAAACUUUUUUUUCUUGGAUUGAGGUUAAAUAAAAAAAAGUAUGUGAUAUUUUGUGAUAGUCAGAAUGCUUCAGAUUUAAGUAAGAAUGCUAUGUACCAUGCUAGAUCGAAGUGCAUUGAUUGUUAGAUGUCAUUGGUUACUUUUGAUAAUUGAAGAACAACAGAUGCUAUUGAGAAAAGUCAUAUUUAUGAGAAUGUGGUAGAUAUGUUGACUAAGAUACUUCCUAGAAAAAAGCUUGAGCUCUGCAGUAACUUGGCCAGAAUAGGUUUCUUGGGUAAGGUAAGUUCCAAAUGAAAUUGCCAUGGUAAUGAAUCUCCUUAUAUUGGGGUUAAAUAAAGAUAUUGUUAGGAAUAUGUGGGAUUCAACCCCAUGAUAUUGGUCUUAACCAUUCAAAGUUUUAGGCUACCCUAAGAGAGCCCUAGGUAAUAAAAGAAAAAAAAAGUUGUAUUUUUUGGUAAGAAACAGAGGGUUAAGUGUCAAAUACAAAAAUGAAAAGCCAAAAAAAUAAAGAGAAAAGAGAGAAAAGAGAGUUAGUUAAACAUAAUCAAUCUAUGGUUUGAUUGAGUUAAAACUUUGUCAACAUGUUUGCGAUUCAGAGUUUCACAUUCUAAACAGUAAAAAUCAGGUUUGAAGCUUUUUAGGAACAAAUUUAAGGAAUAUUUGUUGAGUCACCGAUUUGAUGAGAUUUCUUCAAUUAUCUUUCUAGUUAUUGACUAGCUCUAAUUUUAACUAGAAGAGAACUUUGUAUAUUCAUUAUUUAAUAGUAAAGAUUUUUCUAAUGGUUCGUGAAUUUUUUCCUUUAUACUGAAGGGUUUUUCACAUAAAUUUUAAUGUGCUUUAUUUUUCUUAUGUUGUUGAAUGUUAAUUAUUGUUUUAUAAUAUAUUACUUCUGCGUUGUUGUAUUUGUUGCUUUAGGUCUAACAAAUAAGACGUUUCGCCUUAGUUUGGGAAAGCUUAGAGACGUCUUAUAUGAUGCUAAAGAUGUGCUUGAUAAAUUCAGGUGUGAAGCGCUGCAAAAAGAGUUGAUCAAUCGUGGAAGCACCACCACCAAAUUGGUACAAUUCCCUGCCCUCUCUAUUCCAUUUGCAUUCCCUUUAAGGAGAAGUCAUAAAAUCAAAAGAAUCAAUGAAAAGCUAGAUACGAUUGCUAGUGAUUUCAAAAAAUUUAAUCUUGGACUUGAAGAGAAAGUUCAGAACCGACAUGUUAGUCUUAGAGAUGCCCACUCUUUCGUUAUACCCUCUAAUGUGAUGGGUCGAAAUCAAGCCAAAGAAAACAUCAUAGAUGUUUUAGUCAAGCCAACCAUUUUUUAAAAAAUACCCGUCAUCCCUAUAGUUGGAAUCGGAGGUUUAAGGAAAACCACACUUGCUCAACUUGUGUACAACGAUGAAACGAUCACUAAGGUCUUUCCCUUAAAAAUAUGGGUGUACGUGUCAAAUGAGUUUGAUCUUGCUAGGUUGCUCUGUGAUAUUAUUUACUCCAUUACGGAGGAAAGAUGUAAUGGCUUACCAGUUAAUGCAUUGCAAACUCAUUUGCGAAUGCUUUUAAAUGGUAAAACUUUUUUGCUUGUUUUAGAUGAUGUAUGGAACAAAGAUCAUGUAAAAUGGAUGGAACUGAGAGAUUUACUAAUGACAAUGGGUAACUUUCAACAAAGUAAAAUUAUUAUGACUACACGAAGUUCAAAAGUUGCUUCGACAGUGGGUACUAUUGCUCCGUACAACUUGAAUGGUCUUAGCCACAAAGAUUGUCUGUCUUUGUAAAACGGGCAUUUCAGGAAGGGGAUGAGAAAGUUUAUCGAAACCUUAUGAGAAUUGGUGACGAAAUUGUGAAAAAAUUCAAAGGGGUUCCAUUGGCGGUGAGAACUUUAGGGAGCUUACUCUACAUGAAAACUGAGCUUCAUGAAUGGGAAUUUAUAAAAGAUAAUGACAUAUGGAAACUUAAUCAAAAUGAAAAUGACAUCCUACCUAUGCUGAAAUUGAGUUAUAGUCAUUUGCCAUCUCAUUUGCAAAGGUGUCUAACUUAUUUGUCAUUGUUUCCAAAGGACACUAUUUAUGAUACUGAUUACAUCGUCCAAUUCUGGAUGGCCAUUGGACUUAUUGAAGGCCCUAAGCAAAAUGAAGAGUGAGAAGAUGUUGGGUUACGAUAUUUCAAAGAAUUAUGGUUGAGGUUACACAUUUAAAAUCCAUGGCCUAAUGCAUGAUCUCUUGUCAAAUGAGUCUCAAGAUGACUGCUUAACAAUUUAUCCUCAUACAGUAAAUGCUACUGAAAAUACUCGACAUCUGUUAUUUUUGGAUGAUAAUCCAUUAGGAGCUCCACAAUCAUUUUCGAAGAAUUUAAAAGUUGUGCGGACAUUAGUAAUCCUACCUUCUUCAGGAAGAAAUAGGAUAAUUGAGGAACAUUUUGUAAAUGCUUCUAUCUUGAAUUUCGAGUUCCUUCGGCUACUUGAUCUCUCCUCUUCAUCUUUGGAUGUAUUGCCCAAUUCCGUUGGCACCUGGAAGCAUUUAAGAUAUCUUGACUUAUCCAGCUGUCGAAGAAUGAGGAAACUUCCUACUUCUAUCCGUAAACUUCAGAGCUUGCUGACUUUACGGUUAGCUGGCGUUCCACUGAUUGAAGUACCUGAAUGUUUGCAAAGCUUGAUUAAGUCUCAGAUUUCUAGAGAUAGCCACAGAUUCUGUGUUUUUAAGGGAUAUUCAACCAGGAUGUUAGAGUUCGCUUCAGUUGUUGCUCUUGUUCGACUGUGAUAUGAUAGAAUCUAUAUUUGAUGGGACGCAACACCUCACAUCACUUGGAAGAUUGGAUAUCCAAAGCUGCUCUAGAUUGAUUUCACUGCCAAGAAGUCUGAAAUUUCUAACCAAAUUAGAGGAAAUCAAUAUCAAUGGCUGUCAAAAAAUCAAUUUGUCAAUGGAACAAGGAGAAGAAGACCAAGACCUUCAAAACUUUAACAAUAUUGGAAGCAGAAGCGCUGAAGGAUUUGCCACGGUUGCUUCUUCAAGGAUCAGCUAGCCUUUUUAAAUCCAUGCUAAUAAGGAGAUGUCCCAACUUCAAGGUACCAUCAGAAUGGAUGCAAAAGCUCACAUCACUUAACAGGUUGGAGCUUGAAAGUUGUCCAGCAUUAUCCUCUGUUCCCGAAGGACUGAAUCGCCUCACUGCACUUAGACAAGUAAAGAUUCAAAUAUGUCCUGCGCUACGCCAAAAUUGACAACCUGGGGUUGGUGCUGAUUGGUCCAAGAUUGCACACGUUCAAGAGGUUCAUAUUGAAGAUUAGUAGAUCGUCAAGCCGCGCUCAAAGUGUUUACCAAUCUCUCAUUCUUUUUUCUUCCUUUAUGAGAUUUCUUUUUUCAUAUUAAAUUUUCCAGAAUACAGAAUUAUAAGAAAAUUGCUCUAAAUGAUAUGUGCUAGUCAAUUCAUCCAUCUUCCUGAAAUAUCUAACACUUGCAUUGAUUUUGAAAUGAUCAUAGGUAAAUUGGUCCGGAUACUUUGGUAAAAAAUAAAAGUGCAAGCAGGUGAGACGAUUUCAUCCAAUCUAUUUAGCUUGUUUGUUAUCAGCAACAUUUCAUGAGAAUCCUUCAAUUUUUGCUACACUUUUUCAUAUACUAUUACUUUUAUAGGAUCUGUCUGAUUGAGAUUUUUUGCUAAUUAUCUUUUUUUUUUAUGCAUAAAGGCAAAUAAAAAUAUAAUCAUCCGUUUUAAAAGGUUACAAUUAACUAUAGCUAGGUGAUAGAAAUAGUCAUAGCUUGUGGGCUUUCUAUAAGAUGAAUGUAAUUACAAUAUUGUCUUGUGUUUCUCUUUGUAGUUACUGUCAAAUUGAGAUACUUAGGUGCAUGUGUCACGGAUCUAAGGAAGAGUCUUGAAUCUCACAUCGAACAUAAUAGGAGGGUCACUGGGGUAUAAAAGGGUUCACACCAUUUUUGCCUUGUGAGGUGCCUUUUGUAAGACAAAACCGUGAGGCCAGGGGGCUAGAGCGAACAAUACCUCACAAAAAUAUGAACCGUGAUGGUCAGGCUGAUUCGGGACGCCGGAAGGGUGAAUGCUCGGGUUCCGAAACCGUGCGGGUUCGGAGCUUAAGUCUCGACCCGUGACAAGUGGUAUCAAAGCCAGCCCUAAAUCGUUCGAUCCACGCCAAGCACCUCGAGGGAGGUAGACAGGGUGGCCAGCCUCCGUGACAAGGGCAUCACGAGAUUGGGUGCGGGAGAAUGUUAAUAAGGAAGAGUCAUGAAUCACAUAUCGAACAUAAUAGGAGGGUCACUGAGGUAUAAAAGGGUUCACACCAUCUCCGCCUUAUGAGACGUCUUUUGUAGGACAAAACCGUGAGGUCAAGAGGGUCAGAGCCAUUUGGCUUCAAAUCAAACCACUGCGGGUAGCUCUUAUGGUGUGGGAAAAUUCAGCCAAACCCUGCAAGGCGCCGUUUGUUCAAAGCUUUUACUUUCUUUGACGAUCAUGUGUCUUGAACCAGACCUGUUUAUCUGUUUGCCUAAUACUUGCGCUUUAGCUAUUUGUUUGUGUUCUAUCUGUUUGUGAUUGGAUCCUUUGGAAUGAAACCAUCAUCUCAUAACUGUUGGGUGACUCCUUAGGGACAAAAGAACUCUUCUUGCUUGAAAAGGGAACAUCAAGCAUUCAACAUGAAGUGCCCAUUUCUUAUUCAACCCAAUAAGAUUUCGACCUCCGUCGUGUAGUGUAAGAGUUUAGACUAUCUUAUCCCAAUGAAAUUCACCCCAAGUCAUUCAAGACCUUGACCUGAUAUUUGAGUUUUUGGUUUAACAGUCCUGUCGUGUCAGCUGGAUGUUGAGCCUUUUGUUUGGGCGUUACCUUUUUCAGGGCCUAAGCCCCCUGAAACUAAAAGCUACAUUGCCCAUUUCCCUAUUGUAGACACCCAAUUGGGUCCGGGCCCAGAUCAAUUGGGCCUGGCCCAAAUGGGUAAGGCCCAUUUCAAUCCUGUAUAUUUUUUUCUUUUGUAUUUUAUGUAUUCUAUUAUUAUUAUUAUUAUGUAUAUCUUUAUUCAUUUAUUUAUUUUUAUUCAGAUUAGAUUUAUAUGUAUAUUAUUUAUAUAGUUAUAUAUUUAUUAUUAUUAUUAUUAUUAUUAUUUUUGUAAGAUAUUUUUGGAUUUAUCUUAUUUUAUUAUUAUUUUUUUUAAAUUAUCUGUUCUGAUUUUUUCCUGAUUAUCAGAUAUUUUUUUACUAUAAUAUCUUUUUAUUUAUCUGUUCUAAUUAUCUAUUAUUUUUUAUAUUUAUUUGAUUUUUUUUUUUUUUGGAAGGUUGAGAUUGAAGCUGAAGAAUCCUACUGGGAGUGGGGAUUCAAUCUAAAGAGUCCAAUUGGAUUCAAAGACUGAAUCCCCGUCCAAGGAGGAGUUGGGAUUGAUCAGAAACUCCUGAUCAACCCCUAUAUAAAGGACCCUUUGGAACAGUUCAAGAACACACAGAAAACAGUAAGCAAAGCUACUGAUUUGAGAGAAAAGGAGGCGUAUAGGAAGCUAGGAAAAGUUUAGGAGUGGUCUAGGAGUGAGAAAAAAUUUCUAGAAAUUUUUGGCGAAAAAAUUUUCUGGAAAUUUCUGGGAAAUUUCCAGAUUCCGGCAAAAAUUCUGGCGAAGUUUGAAUUUUCCGGCGAUAGUUCCGGCCAAACUUGAAGUUUUCGGCAACCAGCCCAGUUUCCGGCGAAGAAUCCCAGAAACCGGCGAUCUUUCGGCAACUUCCGGCGAACUUCCGGCGAAAUUUUCCAGAUUCCGGCGAGAAUUUCCAGAAUCCGGCGAAAUCCCACCGGUGUUCUUCAGUCUUUAGAGAGAAGGCAGAGGAAAGAAGGAAGAAGAGAGAGAGAGAGGAGGGGCGGUCUGCCGAAAAACAGAGGGUAGUGCCUUUUAUACCCUCCCAAAACGACGUCGUUUUGGCUUUAAGUUAAUCAGAGGAUCCGCGCGUUUUGCCGAAAACCCGACCAGACCCGGGCGUCGACCCGCUUUCUGACCCGCGCGUUUCAGCCCCUCCGAGCCGAGCCGAGCCGAGCCGAGCCGCACCAAGCCGAGCCGCGAUCCGAGCCGCUCCAGGUUUUUUUUUUUUUUUUUUUUUUGAAUUUUUUUGAAUUUUUUUUAUUUGACUUUGAUUUUGAUCUUGAUUUUUUUUUCUUUUUUCUUUAAUUAAUCCGACGACGGAGCCUCUACAAGUAAAAACAGUAGUUUUUCUUGCAUACUCCUGAGGUGAGGGAAUUUUCUCAAUUUUCUGCUAAAAGUAUUAGAGUCAAUUGAGAAUAAUUUCCGAUAAUUAAUUACUUGGCUGAUUUUGAUUUUUUUUUUCUUUAAUUAAUCCGACGACGGAGCCUCUGCAAGUGAAACAGUAGUUUUUCUUGCAUACUCCUGAGGUGAGGGAAUUUUCUCAAUUUUCUGCUAAAAGUAUUAGAGUCAAUUGAGAAUAAUUUUCGAUAAUUAAUUAAUUGGUUGAUCUUGAUUUUUCUUUAAAUAAUCCGACGACGGAGCCUCUGCAAGUGAAACAGUAGUUUUUCUUGCAUACUCUUGAGGUGAGGGAAUUUUCUCAAUUUUUUGCUAAAAGUAUUAGAGUCAAUUGAGAAUAAUUUUCAACAACUAACUACUUGGUAAAAUUUUAAGGCUUUUGGAUAACACAAAUUUAAGCUGGUACCAUCUUUUGAUGGGCGUUGUGAGGGUGCUACAACCUUCCUCACACGUAACCGAACUCCCGAACCCUGUUCUGGUUAGUAGACCUGAACCUAUUCUUUUAGGGACUCUUAAACUGAGGCGUUCCCUAAAAGGACAGAUUCCUUAGGUGGCCAAUCGCACCUAGAUAAAAAAGAUUGGUGGCGACUCCCAAAAGUCAAUGUCUAGCGAUAGAUCCCCGGAUCUAGACGUUACGACAGCUUGGCGACUCCACUGGGGACCUUGAGAGUCAGGCCAGCAAAUAAUUUGUGUUAUCCAAAAGCCUAAUAAAAUUGAACCAUUUUUGUAUAUAUGUGUUAUUCAUUCAUGUAUUUACCUUGUUAAUUAUGUCAUUCAUGUGCAUGUGCAUAACAUGAGCUCUACACCCGAGCUCUGUCCCUCUAGGAGGGAGUAAAGUACCUAUUGCUUUCGUGAGGUCUAAUGCCUCCGCAGUGGCUAGCGAAAUACUCCCACUCAAAUUGAACCUUUUCCGCUUGUAGCCUGUAAUGGGUGAGGAUUAGGGUGCCUUACUAGUCUGUGAUGGACAAGGAUGUAAGGAACAAUUUGAGGACCUUUAGACUCUGACUUUAAAACCACAUGUAGUGAACCUUAAGAGUGCCUAACCCUAGGAUAGAGUCCUUUCUACCCAAUGAUAGAUAUACCCUGAAAUUAGGACACAAAAAAGGUGUUUAUCUAAUCAUUUUGAUUGCUUAACUUUGUGUAUUAUUUUUUGUAAUGUUAUGCAUCAGCAUUACUUUCAUUUCAUUCAUGAAACUAACUAUGUUGUUUGUCUGAUUGUAUGCAUCUGUAUUCUUUUCAUGAUCAUGUUUCAACACAAUCAUUUGCAUUCAUUUCAUGCUAGAUUUCAUUCAAAAAAUGUACAUUUCAUUUGUGUAUCAAAGCAUCAUACAUAAGGCACAGCAUAACAUUUCUAAUCAUGAGUAUGGUACUCAAGGUCCGAGGAUAGCUCCAUCUAGCGAAAACCUUGCUCAUCCAUACAACACAAGAUCCAGAGCAAGGCAAAUGGAGGAGGAAAGUUCUCAUAGAUUUGAAAAGCUAGAAAAAGCUCAGGAGAAGAUUGAAAGUGAACUAAGCAAGAUUCUGGAAGCUCUAAAUAACAUGAAUAAGGGGAAAGGAGUUGAAGGAAGUACAAGCCAGCAAGAAGUGGCUGACCCUUUGUACCCUCCAGGUUUUGGCCCAUCUCAGGUCCAGCCUGCUCAAGAGGUCCCGCCAUAUCCUGGAAUACCAUCAGCUUUCAACCCAGGGCAGUAUAAUAGCUAUAUAAAUCCUGUCUUCACUGAAAAAGUAGCAGAACCAAUUCCUGACCUAGAUGCCUUAAAGGAGAAGGAAAAAGAAAAGAUGAAAGUGGAAGCUGAGGAGAGUUCCAAGAUUAGCAUGCUAGAGCAGAGGCUACGGGCUGUGGAAGGAUUUAGCUUUUAUGGGUCAGUAGAUGCUGCUGGGCUCUGCCUAGUCCCUGAUGUGGUUAUUCCCUAUAAGUUCAAAGUACCAAAAUUUGAAAAAUAUGACGGUACCAAGUGCCCCAAAACCCACAUCACCAUGUAUUGCAGGAAGAUGGCAGCUCAUGCUCAUGAUGAAAAACUUCUGAUGCAUGUUUUCCAGGACAGUCUUACUGGCUCUGCCGCCAGAUGGUAUGUUCAGUUGGAUAGGACUCGUAUUCGCUCUUGGAGUGAUAUGGCACACGACUUCAUCAGUCAAUAUCGACACAUUAUCGAUUUGGCCCCUGAUCGUUUAUCUUUGCAAAAUUUGGAGAAAAAGUCAAAUGAGUCUUUUAAAGAAUACGUCCAGAGAUGGAGGGAUAUUGCUUCACAGGUACAACCUCCACUGACAGAGAAAGAGACCACAGUGCUGUUUGUUAGCACUUUAAAGCCUCCCUAUUAUGAAAAGAUGAUAGGAAAUGCAACAAAGAAUUUUGCUGACAUGGUGAUCUCUGGAGAAAUUAUUGAAAGUGCCAUAAAAAAUGGCAAGUUGAAAGGAGGAGAAACCAAGAAGACAUCAGAAAAGAAAGAAGCUGAAGCUCAAGCUGUGAGCUUUGAUAGACAACAAUUCAGGGGUUAUCAACCCUAUCCAUCCCAAGGCUACUCUCCAUACUAUCCCGCUGUGAAUAAUGCCUCAUCCUACCCAUACCAGUUAGCUUCACAACCAUCUCAUUCAUCCACUUACCGCCUUAACAUUCAAGCUCCUGUAAGAACUCAAGUUCGCCCUACUAACCCAGCAAGUGGCUCGCGAGAACAACGGACUGCUCGAGAAAAACCUGUAUUUGAUCCAAUCCCUAUGACUUAUACAGAGUUAUAUCGAGAGCUUUAUAAUAGCCACUUGAUUGCCCCCAGCCAUGUGGAACCUCUUAAACCACCCUACCCAAAGUGGUAUGAUCCUACAGCCCACUGCGACUAUCACUAUGGAAUUACUGGCCAUUCUACUGAAAAUUGCACUGCUUUAAAGUAUAAGGUGCAACGGUUGAUCAAUGAUGGAAUGGUAAGUUUUGAUCAAGGAAAAGCAACAACAUUCAAUGUUAACACCCUAAGUGAAAGUCAAGAACAGAAAGGAUCUGGAGAGUCACAAUGAAUUGAGGGGCAAGACGUCAAUGGGGAUUUCUUCACCUGAUCAUAUAGGGGGCUAAUUUUUAAUGGAGAUAAGGCGGGUUGAAAGUUUUUUUGUCACUUUAAGAUUUCUUUUCAAGUAAUGUUGGAUUUCUUUUUGCAAUAUGACUUUACUUGUUAUCAUUUUAAUAAAGGCAAGUCAAUGCAUUUCAUUACAUUUUUCUCUUUCAUUUGACCAUUAUUCCAUACCCUGCUACCCUUCAUAACUUCACAUUCCCAUUCUUAAAUUUCAGAUGAUGAAUAUUUAGACAAUGAUAACAAUAAUUCUGGGAUUUAAUUUUGAGAACUCAUCCACAUUAAUAUGAGAAGAUGAUUUGAACAGAAGUAAGCUAUUACUGGAGGAGAAACAGAUAUGUCUUGAAGAUGUGUAAUCUUUUAUACAGAUUCAUGAGCUUUGUUUAAUAGAUGAUGUUCAAGAAAGGUAUUCACAAUUGAGAUGAAAAAUGGCCACCUUUCUUUUACCAUUGGAAAAACCAUUUAUUGCUACCCCUUUGAGCCAAUCAUGAUUUUUUUUCUUGAAGAACCCCAACCAAGGAUCACCCUCUACACUGGAGGGUAAUUUUUGAAAAAAAAAAAAAAAAAAAAAGAGAAAAAAAAAAAAAAACACCACAAAAGGUCUCAAAAAUGAAAAAAAAAAGAGAAAAAACAAAUGCCACACAUGACUUGGGGCAAAGUAAUGAGAAUCCUUUGUGUGAUGAAAGAAAAAAGUAGUGAAAUGAUGUGGGGGCAAAAUGCCAGGCUGCAUCAAAUGAUCCUUUGGUUUUGAACCUUUUUAAUACAUGUUUUGAGCCUAUUAUAUCCAUUUCUUUUAUGACCCUUCCCCUUGGCCUACGUUACAACCUUGAAAAGUCCAUUUGGAUCAAGUGUGAAUACUCAACUUGAAUGAUCAUAUGUUGAGCGAAGGUAUGCUCAUGAGGAAGCAAUGAAAUCAUGGUCUAAAGUUGGACGUAUGAAAGAUAUCAACAAUGGAUGAAAAAAAAAUGAUGAAAAAAAAAAGAAAAAAAAAGGAAAAAAAAAGAAAAAAUGAAAAAAAAAAGAAGGAAAAAAAGAGAAAAUAAAAAAAAGAGAUUCAAAUUGAAAACCUGAAAGGGUGAUUUUAGUAAAAAAAAAAUCAAGUCAAAUGGCUCACAUGAAUGAAAGAUCAAAGACAUCUGAAGAUCCCUCAAAGACUGGGGCAGAGUUCGCCAAGCUCAAGAUGACUUCAACAGUAAAUGGAAUGAGUUUUUGAAAAAGAAUCCUAGAUUAAUGUUGAAAAUUGUCUGAAUAUUCAUCAUUUGGACAUACCAUUCACCUCAAUGACAUCCAAUUUAUUUCAUUUCCCAUUUAUUUUUUACCAAAAUAGAUCUCCAUUGAUUAUCUUUACCAUAAUUCACCUUCUGUUCUCUUAUUGUUUCACCCCUAGAAUGAAUUGAGAAAAUGCUUGAUUGCAUUGUAUUUGUCAGGAUUUGAAAUGAUAAUGAAUGAAUGAAUAUGUGCUUAAAAGAGUCUUGCAUUUAUUUGAAAAGAAAUCUAAGAUGAUGAAGAAAUGGUAGAAACCUAAUAGAGAAUAUGAUGGGGCAAAUCUUGAAAAGUGAUGAAUUGAUUGAUAUGACUUGCAAGAUAUGAUUGAAUGAUGAAGACAAUCAGUAGACAAAGUCUGUUUUGGAAUUGUUGAGGCUGAGACAAGGACCCAGUGAUGAUGGAUGAAAUUUGUUUUGAAAUUUGCUAGUGCUGAAAAAUUCAUUGAAUGAUGGUCAAGUGAUGAUCGAUUGAUGAAGCUUAUUCCAAAGUAUUGAAAAACAGAACAAGAAAGAAUGUGAGUGGAAGAGACAAUUGAGAGCUACACUGGUUCGAUCUUAGAAGAGCAGUGCAAUUGGAUCCUUGAGGAAUCAAAGGGCUUGACACCCAAAAAAAAAAAAAGCUUGAGAAACUUGAGUACCAUACAUUGAACAGGAAUUAAUUGGCCAACAUUUGCAUGGCAUGCAUUGAAAUUCAUAUGCAUUGCACAGCAUACACUACUUUCAGGAGAAUAUAGUGUACAAAUUCAAGAAGCAAGGGUGUUCCAACAUCCCACAUGAAAAAGACAGAUAUGAAAAGACUUUGCAAGUUUGAGAAGAAACUUGUCAGGUAAGUUCCUAAUCCUUGAAAUAGGAUGUCUUUUGGUAUCAGGGUUGAUUAUAAAGACCUUUGGGCAUAAUCUCCUGAAAUCCCUUCAAACACAGCUUUCAACUCCUUUGGACAUGAUUGUCAAGGAGCCUAUUAAUUUCCAAAGUUCCGUUGCCUCUGUUUAGAGGAGCAAUUUAUCUUUUCCAAAGUCGUGGUUGCCUCUGUUGAGAGGAGCAAUUUACUUUUCAAAGUCGUGGUGCCUCUGUUGAGAGGAGCAAUUUAUUUUUUUCAAAGUCGUGGUGCCUCUGUUGAGAGGAGCAAUUUACUUUUCAAAGUCGUGGUGCCUCUGUUGAGAGGAGCAAUUUAUUUUUUCAAAGUCGUGGUGCCUCUGUUGAGAGGAGCAAUUUACUUUCCAAAGUCGUGGUGCCUCUGUUGAGAGGAGCAAUUUACUUUUCAAAGUCGUGGGUGCCUCUGUUGAGAGGAGCAAUUUAAUUUCCAAAGUUCCGUUUGCCUCUGUUUAGAGGAGCAAUUUACUUUUCAAAGUCGUGGUGCCUCUGUUGAGAGGAGCAAUUUUAAUUUCCAAAGUUUCGUUGCCUCUGUUUAGAGGAGCAAUUUAUUUUUCCAAAGUCGUGGUACCUCUGUUGAGAGGAGCAAUUUACUUUUCAAAGUCGUGGUGCCUCUGUUGAAGAGGAGCAAUUUACUUCCAAAGUCGUGGGUGCCUCUGUUGAGAGGAGCAAUUUACUUUUCAAAGUCGUUGGUACCUCUGUUGAGAGGAGCAAUUUACUUUCAAAAGUCGUUGAGUCUCUGUUUAGAGGAGCUUCGGCAAAAAAAAAAAAAAAACAAAAAAAAACAAAAAAAACAAAAAAAAACAAAAAAAAAAACAAAAAAAAAAAUAAAAAAAUCAGAAAAAAUCAAAAAAUAACAAAACAAAAAUAAAAAAAAUCAAAAAUAAAAUGUUUGAGUUGAGUCUGGACUUGGGUGUCUACGUCUUUGCGCAAUUUCUGUUUCACAGAAAAUGUGCAAAGAGGGGCAGCGUAGACACACCAAUUGGGUCCGGGCCCAGAUCAAUUGGGCCUGGCCCAAAUGGGUUAAGGCCCCAUUUCAAUCCUGUAUAUUUUUUUCUUUUGUAUUUUAUGUAUUCAUUAUUAUUAUUAUUAUGCUAUAUCUUAUUCAUUUAUUUAUUUUUAUUCAGAUUAGAUUUAUAUGUAUAUUAUUAAUAUAGUUAUAUAUUUAUUAUUAUUAUUAUUAUUAUUANNNNNNNNNNNNNNNNNNNNNNNNNNNNNNNNNNNNNNNNNNNNNNNNNNNNNNNNNNNNNNNNNNNNNNNNNNNNNNNNNNNNNNNNNNNNNNNNNNNNNNNNNNNNNNNNNNNNNNNNNNNNNNNNNNNNNNNNNNNNNNNNNNNNNNNNNNNNNNNNNNNNNNNNNNNNNNNNNNNNNNNNNNNNNNNNNNNNNNNNNNNNNNNNNNNNNNNNNNNNNNNNNNNNNNNNNNNNNNNNNNNNNNNNNNNNNNNNNNNNNNNNNNNNNNNNNNNNNNNNNNNNNNNNNNNNNNNNNNNNNNNNNNNNNNNNNNNNNNNNNNNNNNNNNNNNNNNNNNNNNNNNNNNNNNNNNNNNNNNNNNNNNNNNNNNNNNNNNNNNNNNNNNNNNNNNNNNNNNNNNNNNNNNNNNNNNNNNNNNNNNNNNNNNNNNNNNNNNNNNNNNNNNNNNNNNNNNNNNNNNNNNNNNNNNNNNNNNNNNNNNNNNNNNNNNNNNNNNNNNNNNNNNNNNNNNNNNNNNNNNNNNNNNNNNNNNNNNNNNNNNNNNNNNNNNNNNNNNNNNNNNNNNNNNNNNNNNNNNNNNNNNNNNNNNNNNNNNNNNNNNNNNNNNNNNNNNNNNNNNNNNNNNNNNNNNNNNNNNNNNNNNNNNNNNNNNNNNNNNNNNNNNNNNNNNNNNNNNNNNNNNNNNNNNNNNNNNNNNNNNNNNNNNNNNNNNNNNNNNNNNNNNNNNNNNNNNNNNNNNNNNNNNNNNNNNNNNNNNNNNNNNNNNNNNNNNNNNNNNNNNNNNNNNNNNNNNNNNNNNNNNNNNNNNNNNNNNNNNNNNNNNNNNNNNNNNNNNNNNNNNNNNNNNNNNNNNNNNNNNNNNNNNNNNNNNNNNNNNNNNNNNNNNNNNNNNNNNNNNNNNNNNNNNNNNNNNNNNNNNNNNNNNNNNNNNNNNNNNNNNNNNNNNNNNNNNNNNNNNNNNNNNNNNNNNNNNNNNNNNNNNNNNNNNNNNNNNNNNNNUGUUUAAAGUCUGCUGCCUGACCAACAGUGCUCUCCUGCAAUGCGUUCAUUAUCUCCCCGUCUGAUGCAAAAGUAUGGGUCUUAUUGGUCGAACUUGCCUUUUGGAGAAUACCUGCCGAAACAUCUCUGCUUGCCAUCCUUUGCAAAUUUGGCUCAUAUCACAAAGAUAUUAGGCACGUGUAAACUUGGUUCCUCAGUUAGCGAGAUGUUAAAUCAGGAGGCAACCCUUUCUUAUCGUAGCUUUGCUUUGAUUCCCAAAAUCCUGCUUCUGGAGCAGCUUUCUCAUCAACACAAUGGAAUCUUGCUAAAUACUUAUCGGCACUCUUGAGUUGCAGAUCUGGAGGAAUCUGCUGUGGGCCAGCCUGCUUUCACCACAAAGCCAUCCUUCUUCAAAAGCUCUCUCCAAACAAACUCCGCAUAGUGGGCAGAUUGAGUGAUAAGGCCUUAGUCUGCACAUCCAUAAACCGCCAUACAAGGUCAGGUUAUGCCCCCACUGCCACAAGAGAACUAUACUCAUGCCGCAGCACUUGAAGAUCAAUAAACCAUCUGAGGUCCGAGAACAAUGUAAUCCCUAUACAUUCCUGCAUCACUCAUUUGCAGCAAGUUUCUCAUUCUUCAAACACCCGAUCAGCAAGGUAGAUGGGGCACCUGUCCCCAAAGACAUUCUGCAGCCAGUAAUUCUCUUUCCCAUCCAUGCAUUCUCUUUGUAAGCCUAAGAUUGCAGGCAUGGCAGUCUCAACACAAAGUUUUGCAUCAUCUACACCAUCCCCAGCAUCAGCCAGAGAGAAUCUUGUAGCAUCAGCAGAGAAUUCCUCAAUUGCCUGAUGCAGUGUCCUGAAAUUUCCAGUAGACUUGCGACAUCUUCUCUGAAUUAAGCAUAAUAUGUCCAUUGCACCUGAAUCCACAAGGCCAGUGAUCCUUGGACAUGAUUGCUGGUGAUUGUAGAUGCAAAAUGUUAAAUGGUUCUGGAUAAGGUCUUUUCCAGAAACCCUAAGAUCAAAUGGAUACCAGUACUCAAACUCCUGCUUCAUCUUGUUAAGAACAGAGGAUGGGAUAUCAGAAGAUUUGGGAUACUGACCACCACAGAAGAGAAAUUCC